CCUAAUCUACCUAUCUAAAACCUCUUAAACGGAUUACUCACUAAUCAUAACAAGCUCACUAAAUCCUUUGCAAGACGUGUAGCUAGUCAUGAUUACAAGCUUAGAUGCUGGUGAAUAAAAGAAAAGAAAGAGAACAAGAUCUUCACGUGGAAACGAGAUAUCGGAUAAGAUUAAUCAAGUUUCACAAAAGAGGCAAGUUCUCAAAGAUAAAACAGGUAGGAAAUAAGAUAAGAUAAAAGAUGAUUAGGAUUUUGGUCCUAAAAUCUAUUUAUAGUGAGGGAUAAGUGUUGCGGGUCAGCCCGGGACAAUCUGGGUACUGAGCGCUCUUCUUGGGUCGUCGGGUGAGCACCUUUGUGUGCAAGAGAGUGAAGCCGAGGUUCUAAUGUCAAGGGGUGCACGUGAGCAAAGAUCAAGAUGAAGAUCUCAUGAAGAACACAUGAAGAACAUGCAUGAACCCUAGUCUUCAAUCCAUCUUCAUAAGCAUUCUCCGAGCCAGCUUGUUCUUGAAUCUGAGUUUGUGACAAGGGACUUGGUAGUCGAGGGGCUUGGUAGUCGAGGAAUUCAGGCAGAUAAAGUCCAACAUGCAAUACCGGGGUCUUGAAACCGAGGUUCACGUUCAACACUUAGUCGUUUUCAGCUUUGCUUCUUCAGCAUGCAUGCCUUGAUCUUGAAACACCGAGGAGUUAGCACGAGGGCUAGUCCAAAGAGGUUCAAGGGACGAGCCUCGGCCUAAGCAAUGUCGAGGUAAUGAUGCCGAGGCUUGAAGAAACACUUAGCGCAUAUCUCAACUCCUUAGGCUUGUGCUGAUCAACUUGUCUUCCGGUUGCAAUAACUUUCAGCACACGACUCCAAAUGUCUUGAAACCAAUUUCACGAUCAAGAUCAUUCAUUUAGCUCAAACUUUGGUGAAGAAACCAUCGGAGCUUGGGAAGUGGAAGGCUCCCUGGAUUGCUUAUCUUUGCGACGCAUUAGAACAACCGGAAAAUCAGCUUUUAGACAGACGUCUCUUCCGGAGAUGAUAUCUUCCAGACCACAGCUCCAAAUUUGAUGAACGCAGGUGUUCUAACAAUAUCACUUAGAGAUCUCAAACAUUGAUGAAGGCUCUGAAGACUGAUUCGAGCUGGAAAGGCAUCGUCCCACGUAAUCUUUGAAACCCAUCGGAUCGGCCCUUAUAUGCAUCCGAGACAGGUGUGUCUCCCGGUGGCGAUAUCUCUCUACUCACUGCUCCGAAUUCUAUGAUUCUAACUGUUCUGGGAUCUUGACUUGAUUACCUCCAACUUGGAUGAAGACCCCAUUAACCGAUUCGGACCAGAAGAUUCCCCGGAUUUGCAAUCUUUGAUGCGUGCGGGUGAAAAUUGGUUUUAGCCGAGAAAUGCUUCCCGCGGUAAGGAAAAUAUCCGAGAAACGUGUACUGUGGUAAGCUUUUUAGCCGAUAAAAAUUAUCCGUCUCGGCAUAAAACUUCAUCCGAUAGAAUUUUCACCCGGUAAUGCUUUUUAGAAGAUAAAGACCACCCGAUGGCAUUUUUAGCCGAUAUUCUGAUCCAGCCAGUACGAGUUUUCGCCGAGAAAUUCCUCCAAACGGUUUUCACCAUUUUUUAAACCUCUUCUUCACCAUUUCAACUCCUGAUCACACCUCUUGAGCUCCAAAUACCCUCCAAAGCACCUGAUAAAGACUCCAAACCAUGCAAAACUCUUUGGGACCUAAUGCAAACCCUAGAGCCUAAUUUGAUGCCUAAAGACCUAAAAUGAAUGAGAAAACACAUGAUUCAGACUCUAAAAUGCAGCUUAAAUGAUGCAAAAUAUAGACAUAUCAACUCCCCCACACUUUUCCUUUGCUUGUCCUGAAGCAAAAAGAGCAAAUGAGAGAAAGAGGUUGGAUGCAACGGGAGUUCAUAUUCCUUAUGGGAGAGAAGUGAUCAUAAUGAGAAUUCAAGUUCAUGCUCAAUUAUGCAAUGCAAAGCCAUACUCAGAUCAACUCAACAAGGAAUCUCCACAAGUUCUUCUCUCUCUCAACUCUUUCACAUUCAUUAAGCUUUUAUCAGUCGAAUCGAAUGAUGCAAUGUUUAAAUAAGCUGGCUUGGCUAGGGUGAGGCUAUGAGAUUAAAAUGAUCUCAUCAGUGUUCAAGCGUGUUUAAUGCAGCAAAGGGAUCUCUCUAUGAAUGAUCAAACUUUGGCAGAAUGCUAAAGGUAAAAAGCAAAGACUCAUCUCACCCCACACUCAAUUCAAAGUUUCCUCACUUGCUCACACUCUCAAGAACCUCUCUUUUUACUCUCGUUCCCUAAACUAGGUGACUCAUUUUGUGACAUCCCAAAAUUAUGAGCCCAAAAUCUAUCAAGCCCAAAAGAAGAGAAAUAAAGCAUUGUGACAUCCCAAAAUUAUGAGCCCAAAAUCCAGCAAGCCCAAAAUAAGAGAAAUAAAGCCCUAAAUGUAAAUAAGGGCAUUUUUAUCAUUUUUCCUCCACCCUAGACCUAGGAGCUCGACCCCCACCCUAUAUAAAGGGUCAGCCACAUUCAUUUGAGAGACACAAAGAGUUAACGCAGUGAAACUCUCUAAAAACCUCUGCAACCCAGUUUAAUAUUGUGUCCGAGUGGAUAUAGAAAAUAUAGCGGAAGCAAUAAUUGACUACAAAAGAGGCGACACACAAGGCGAUCUAGGGUUUUGUGGAUUCCAGCCCAAGAAAGGGCUCAGGCGUCAUGGCGGCGCCGGACCAGUCGGUUCCGCUUCUGGAGGAAGGAGUGCAGUCGGGAGGGGAGGUUAGGAGUGUAUCGGAGGAGGCUCGGAGUGUUUCAGAGGAGCUGGGUAAGUCGAAGAAGGUUCAAACCGAUGGAGAAGUGCAAGAGAAAGGUUUGGAGGCAGUGGGAGAUGAAAGUGAUCAAAGCAAAGAAGCAAAAGUCGAGACGGUGGUGAAUGAUACAGCGAAGGCAGGGAGGUCAUACUCUUCAGUUGUUGCUGAGAAAGAUCGCUUGCAGCGAUACGAGUUUGAGGUCGAGGAGAUUGAAGGGGUGAAAACUAUCAGGGUCCCGGAUUGUGUGUUUGAGAAAGCACCUCCGCUUUGGGAUGACUGUAUUGUGGGGAAGUUUGUGUCAAAGGCACCGCAUGUGGGUUUGAUUCAUAUGACGGUAAACAAGAUUUGGCCGUUGGGGGAUUCAUCGGUCAAAGUAGAAGUGUUUGUUGUUGAUGAAACAACGGUGAAAUUUAAGAUUCCGGACGCUGCUAUCACGAAAAGAGUUUUGAGGCGAGGCAUGUGGAGUAUUAAAAAUAUUCCGAUGAUUGUUUCUAAGUGGAGUCCAAUUGUAGAGGAGGCACAGCCGGAGAUCACGGUGCUUCCGAUGUGAGUUGUUUUGCAAAAUGUCCCGCAAAGUAUGUUUACUUGGAAGGGAUUGAGCUUCCUCACAAGCCCUCUGGGUGAGCCGAAGAAACUCCAUCCGGAUACUCUCUGGGCCAAAGAUUUUGAGGAAGCCAGAGUUUUUGUGGAGGUAAACUUGAAACAGGCAUUGCCAGAGUGCUUUUCUUUCAAGUCAAGUACGGGGCUUGACACAAUUGUUCAUUAUGAGUUUCCUUGGUUGCCACCAAGAUGUGUCUCAUGUGGGAAAUGGGGUCAUGCUAUAUCGGAGUGUAAGGCGAAGCCUGGAGAUAAAGUGAUUUUGCAAAGAGAGAAGUCUAUUCUUUCUCCAGUGAAUUCAGGGCAAGCAAAAAACAGAGAGGUGAGGGAGAAUGUGGGUUCCUCGAGUCAGAGUACCCCGAAGAAGGAUUUAUCGAUACAGUCGGAGGAGAAAGCUGAGGAAAUGCCGCAAGCUAGUAAAGCGGGGGUCGAGGAGAUGGGAAGUCGCUCGCACUCUCCGGAAGUUUGGCAAGUGGUUAAAUCCCCGGUUAGAUCUAAAAAGACGGAGGUAAAUGCAGUUGAGGAAGGAGAGGAAAUUCAGAGCUCUGGCUCUCGCUAUGCUUCCAUCGCAGAUCAGGAGACUGAUGUUGAGGAAGGAGAUGUUGAGGAGGUAGAGGUUCACGUUCAUAACAAAAAUCUACCAGCAGAGGUAGAGUCUAAACAGGGUAAAGGAGAAGAGAAGCCAAAGCAGAGUGUGGGUAGCAGAGCUCCUUUACCUCGGGAAUCAAAAUCUUUACACCGUUAUGUUAGUACUGUUCCUAGCUCCUCUCCAUCAUCGAGUUCGAGCAAGAACAAGAAAAACAAAAACAAGUCUCGUCGAAACAAACACUAAUGUCUGGGUUUUUCUGGAACAUUAGAGGAUUUAACAAAAAACGGAAACAGGAAGUGGUGAGGAAGUGGUGUAGGGAACAUGAUUUUUUGUUUGGUGCAAUUCUUGAGACUCGGAUGCAGGAAAGUAAGGCGGCGGAGGUAGUUUCAGCAGUAUUUCCAGGGUGGUCAUUCUUACAUAACUAUGAUCAUCAUCGGCUAGGACGGAUUUGGGUUGUUUGGAGUGACAUGGUUCGUAUUACUCCAGUUUUUAAAAGUAGUCAGUUAGUAUCAGUGUUGGUGAAACAGCAUGGAAUUGAUGAGGAGUUCUUGUGCUCUUUCGUGUAUGGUUCUAAUUUUUCCGAAGAUAGGAAAGAAUUAUGGGCUGAUCUUCGAAGUCAUUUCACUUCUCCAAUUUACCGAAAUAUAAGUUGGUUAGUGAUGGGUGAUUUCAAUGAGACGUUGUCUACAGAGGAGCACUCGGGUGAGGAUUCGGUUUUGACGGGGGGAAUGCAGGAUUUUCAGGCGAUUGUUCGUGAUGGUGAGCUCCUGGAUAUGGGCUAUCAUGGGCCACUAUUCACUUGGACGAACAAAAGGAUGCAGGGGCAGGUUUGCAAAAAGCUUGAUCGCCUUUUGAUGAAUGAUCGUUGGCUCAGUAGUAGGCCGCAAUCGUAUUGCGUAUAUGAAGGGGGGGGGGGUUGUUCUGAUCAUCAGAGGUGCAGGUUUUAUGUUUCAAACGAGACUACUAGGCCCAGAAAGCCGUUCAAAUUCUCAAACGUAAUUGCUAAACUUCCUCAGUUUCACACAGCAAUGGGCGAGUAUUGGAAUGCGACUAUUCCCCUGUUUCAUUCUACCUCUGCGCUCUAUCGGUUCUCAAAGAUGUUGAAGAAUUUAAAACCUAUAGUACGACAGAUAUCAAGGGAUUCUCUUCAUGACAUAUCGAAGAGAGUAACGCAGGCAUAUGAUGAGCUUUGUGAGAAGCAGGAGCACAACUUGAUAUAUCCAUCGGAAGUAGCGCAGGCAGAGGAGAAUGAGGCUUAUACGAAAUGGGAAUGGGUGGCGAAUAUGGAGGAAAAUUAUCUUUCCCAAAAAGCAAAGUUAAACUGGCUGAACGUGGGGGACAGGAACAACAAGGUUUUCCAUCGAGCGGUUAAAGUAAGGGAGGUCAGGAAUGGGAUUAGAGAGUUGCAAACUCAGGCGGGUGAAACCCUUGUACGUAGUUGCGAUAUCAAACAGGCGGCAGUUGAUCAUUUUCAGACCUUUUUGAAUUACAAACCUCAAAACAUUCGUGCUACGUCUAGAGAAGAGAUGGGAGCUUUGUUGGAGUAUCGAUGUUCUCAGGAAGAUAGGACUCUUCUAACUGCAGAGGUUACAGGGGAGGAGAUUAGAAGGGUUUUGUUUGCUAUGGCGACGAAUAAAUCACCUGGGUUUACUGUGGAAUUUUUCAAGGAAUCCUGGUCGGUCUUGGGACAUGAUCUGGUGGUUAGCAUUCAAUCAUUUUUUCUUAAGGGAUUCCUGCCUAAAGGUAUUAAUUCAACUAUUCUUGCAUUAAUACCGAAAAAGGAGCAGGCAAAGACGAUGAAAGAUUACAGGCCCAUUGCGUGUUGUAAUGUGAUUUACAAGCUUAUAUCCAAGAUCUUGGCGAAUAGGUUGAAGAAAAUACUCCCCAAGGUUAUUUCCCCAAACCAGUCUGCCUUUGUUGAGGAUAGGCUCUUGAUCGAAAACCUGCUUCUUGCUUCGGAAUUGGUGGAGGGGUACCACAAACCAAAUAUUUCGUCUAGAUGCGCCCUCAAAAUAGAUAUCUCUAAAGCUUUUGAUUCUGUGGAUUGGGAGUUCUUGCUAACGGUGUUGGAAUCUUUAAACUUGCCCAUGGAGUUUGUUCACUGGAUACGGUUAUGCGUAACUACUCCUUCUUUCUCGGUUCAGUUAAAUGGAGAACUGGCGGGUUAUUUUGGAAGCUCAAGGGGUUUGCGUCAAGGCUGUUCGCUCUCUCCGUAUUUAUUUAUAAUUUGCAUGAAUGUCCUCUCUCAAAUGCUGGACAAAGCUGUGAUGCAGGGGAAGUUCGGAUUCCAUCCAACUUGCAGGAAUAUGAAGCUUACACAUCUUUGUUUUGCAGACGACUUGAUGAUUUUUUCAGACGGUACACUGCAAUCAAUGGAGGGGAUAAUUGGGAUUUUCGAUGAAUUCUCCAAGUUGUCUGGGCUGCAAAUAAGUUUGGAAAAAUCCACGGCCUAUCUUGCAGGUGUUCCUGAGUCCACUCGCGCAACGAUAGUUCAGCAGUUUCCGUUUGAACUCGGCUCACUUCCGGUUCGGUAUUUAGGACUGCCUUUGCUCACCAAGCAAAUGCGAUCAUUGGAUUACUCAACUCUUACCGACAAAAUUCGUGAAAAAGUAAGCUCCUGGACGGCGAGAACUCUUACUUUUGCGGGUCGUCUUCAACUUCUCUCAUCGGUCAUUACCAGUUUAGUCAACUUUUGGAUGGCGGCUUUUCGUCUGCCGAGGGGUUGUAUCGAUACAAUAGAGAGUAUUUGUUCCUCUUUUUUAUGGUCUGGACCAGACCUUAACACAAGAAAGGCAAAGGUGGAAUGGAGUAAGGUGUGCCGCCCCAAGGUCGAAGGAGGGUUGGGGCUUAAAAGUUUGAGAGAAGCAAACGAUGUCUGUGUGCUGAAGCUCUUAUGGCGUGUUUUAACUGCAAAGAACUCGCUUUGGGUUCGGUGGCUCCAUACGGUACGUAUGAGAGGAAACUCAAUUUGGUUGCCCUCGCAUCAGUCUCAAGGGUCGUGGGUGUGGAGGCAGCUGUUACAGUAUCGGAAUCUGGCAGGGCAAUUCCUUAAAGUGGAAGUGAAGAAUGGCCGUUCAACACUAUUCUGGCUUGAGAAUUGGUCUCCGAUUGGCUCGCUUUUGCCGGCUAUAGGGGCAAGGGGUUGCUUAGAGUUGGGUAUCAAUAUUGAGAUGACGGUGGAGGAUGUUAUUUUGCGGCAUAGGCGACGAAGGCAUAGACGUGAGAUACUAAAUAGAGUGGAGGAUGAAAUUGACGCUAUUAAAGCUCGAUAUGUACGGGACGAAGCAGAUGUGGUUCUGUGGAAAUGGAAAUCGGACUCUUUCAAAACUACUUUCAGUACAAAGGCCACUUAUGAUCAGUUGAGGAUGACUUAUGAUCGAGUUCCUUGGUCAUCUGGAAUCUGGUUUAAGUAUCAUUCUCCUAAGUUCAGCUUUAUUGUUUGGUUGGCUCUGCAGAAUCGGUUGGCAUUGGCGAUAGAAUGUUAGCUUGGAACCAGAAUAUCUCCGCAACUUGUGGAUUUUGUGGUGUGACGUCAGAGACUAGGAACCACUUGUUUUUUACUUGCCCGUACUCUGCAAAGGUAUGGAAGCAGCUAGCUGGGGGUGUUCUUCUUCAGGAUUUCACGGUGGAAUGGGAUGAGAUGGUCUUCCUGAUAUUGCGAUCUUCUAUGAACAGAAUCCAGGGAUUUAUGAUCAGAUAUCUGUUUCAGCUUACAGUUUACACUCUCUGGAGAGAAAGGAAUGCUCGGAGGCAUGGAACGCCACCAUUUGUGGAGUCGCGACUGAUUAAAUGGAUUGACAAGGGAGUCAGAAAUCGAUUUAGCUCGAUAAGGUUGAUUGGGGAUCAUCGAUAUGAGGAUGGCCUUCAAGCUUGGUUCGCAUCGAGGCAAGCGUAACAAGAAGGAAGACGAAUGUUUCAAUUGUUCUUUUGGAUUUUUAUUUUUUAAAUUAAAGCUCGCAUCAUUGAUGUAGAAAACGCUAUUUUUUUUUGGUGUGAAUAAAAUUUAACAUUCAUUCAAAAAAAAUAAAAAUAAAAAAAUAUUGUGUCCGAGUGAGGGUUUUGCUGUGUCUUUUGCCAAAAACUCAGAUCGAGCUAGGAGCCGAUCUUUAUACCUCUGGAAAUAUCUUGCUGCAAGGAAUCAAUAGCAGUUUACAGAUCGAAAUUUCGAGGUAAGCUCCGUUUUUUUACGUGAGCUGAAAGUUGGCGAAAAAUCAUUUGUUUCAGCAAAUCUGAUUUUUCCAGUUUCGCAGUGCCUCGAGAGAGGAUUUGCCGUCGAUCCAGAAGGACUCAGAUAGCGAUCCAUAUACCAGCGAGCAAGGAGUUAUGAAGGAUUUGGUGCGAGCGGUUUUCAUUCAUAUCGAGAUGAAGUAUCGACCAAAACUUGGUUUGUAUUACCUUGAACCCUGGAACGAAGAAAUGUCCCUUGAAGCUGCUCUUCACACCACACUGAGGUGCUACACCGAGAGGAACCUGGUCAGUAUUGUGUUUUAAGAGUUUCUUCGCACCAAUCCAAGGUCCUGCACCGAGCACUUAGAACUCGAUAUGACCCUUGGUCCAACACGUUUUUAUGGGCCGUUUUGGGCCAAUACCCAGUUUGUUCUGGGUUGGCCCAUCAAGGAAACCCUACCUAUAUAUAUGCUUUAGGAAAUAUAUGUUGGACCUAACCUUUAUGCUCUCUUUUCCUUUUGCCUCUUUUGUGAAAAACUCAUCCUUGUAAGAGAUAUCUUCCAUUUUGGGUUUAAAUCCUUGUAAAAGAUAUCUUCUUAUCAUCAUUAUAUAUCCAUCAUCUAUCUAUUCUCAUCAACUAAUCAUGAUUAAGAUCAACUCUUGCAAAGGAACUGGUUUGUUCAUCAUGAUUAGUAAGUAGUCACUUCAUUAGAGUUCUAGAUAUGUAGGUUAGGGUGCUUAGGGGUUUGAUUAAGUUAGCAUAGGACUAGAUUUAUGCAUCUUUGUCUUGUUUAGCUGAUCCUAAUGCUGGGUUUUAGAUGAUCUCUCUAUCCACAAGGUAUUGAUAAAAUGCAUGAACACGCUAAAUCAAGAGUCUAAUGUUUGAUUCAGAUGGGAAUGUUGUUUUGAGAAUAGUUGGUAUAUCAGGAUUGGUUUCUAAUGCAUUUCUUACAUUGUGUCUUUAAUGAUGAUUAGGUAUGAGAAAUGUUUGAGAUUGUGUUUUGAUGCUCGAGAAAGAUUGAAACUUGUAUUAAAUCCUAAGCUGCUUAGAUCAUUCAUCAUCAUUGUCAUUAGCUUCUUAGUUAGAUCCUGAAAGAACCCUAGCCAACUAUCAUAGCUGGAGCUCUAUACUAUAUCAUAUUACAUUCAUCAUCAUCAUUCAGAUGUUGCUUUGUUUUGUCUACAUUUUAAUCUUGUUUUAGUCUAGUUUAGCUUUCAUUUGUUACUUGUUACACAACAACCUUCUUUGAUCUGCUUGGAUUAAGAUAAAACCUGAUAGAUUACUGAUCUGAACCACAUUGUUGGAUUCACACCCUUUAUGCUAGAACAGCUAAGGGAUUGGUAACCGAAAGAGCCUAUAAAACUCUUGUAUAUCAAUGGUAUAUUAUGAUUGAUGUUAACUAUCAUGUCUAGAGCUCUAAGUCUCAUCAUAUUCAUAUCAUCUUGAUCAUUUUCUAUCUUGUUUAUUGCUUAUGUAAGUCUUAAUCAUUGUUAAUCUUGUUUGAAAUCUGUUUAUUGUCUCUGGUUACCACACUUAUCUUGUUUUGGCUUGGAUUAAGUUUUGAAUUCUGAUGAAGUAGUGUCUAUCUUCACACUCAUGGAUUGAAUACCUUUUAUGCUGCAACUGCUUAAAGGGAUUGAUACCCUAAGAGUCUAAAAACUCUUGUUUAUCAAUUUGUCCGAAUGGGUUUUCUAGAGAUAGGUUUUUAAUGAGGCAAGGUUGGAUCACUAUUUCCUCAAAGUCCACUAAGCCAAGCCCAACACCACUUUCGACCAAAGGAGAAUAAAGUUCAAAAGUUCAAAUUCAAACUUAGUCAAAUAAGAGCUUCUGUUUUCCAAGAAUUCUUUAUUGUUUGGUCGACUAUCUAUUCUUUAUAUUCUCAUGUAAUCUCAUUUUUUAGAACUCAUCUUUCUUUUUAUCAAAUAACCUUUCUAAGUAAAGAUCAUUUUUUCUCUGAACAUCUUAGUUUGUGAGUGUGUCAUAUCUCUAAAACACCCGAUUCUUAGGUGUGUAGUAUCCUCAGAAUCAAACAGGUAAAUUAAAGGUCUUCUACAGCCUUUGUGCGACCCAUCGAUCCACUUCCUUGUCUUUGAAUCCUUGGUGUUUCAUCGUACAAGCAUAUCCAAUUCCAGUCUCUAGAGUGCCGAUUGAGGGAGGAUAUUAUUAUUGAGUAGUUGGGUUUUAAGGGUCAAUUAAAGGGAUCAAUAUGUUCGAUAGGGAUUACUAGCUUUUCUCAACCAUAUUCUAGAUCUCAUCUCUUAUGAGUUGAACAUAAUGCAUGAGGUUAGAAUCAUGAACUGAUCUCUGAGCCUAAGAUUGAUCAGAGACACGAGAGUGAUACAAAGCUUUAGAAGACCAUAGUCGCUAUAGGAGACGAAAGCUACCUAUAGAGAAAAUGUGAGCAAGAAUGAAUUCAGUUCAGUUAAUACAUGAUGUUACUCGCGGCAAGAGACGAAUGCUACUUUUCGAGUUUAAGUGAUUAGUUGGUUAAGGUGACAAGAUUUGGUUAGCUAUAUUAGUGUGUAUUCUAGUUCCUUGCAGAUACUAGGAAUAGAUUAAGAAAUACUACCUAUAAGCUAAUUGGAAGAUACUUAGAUAUCGAUUAGGACAACUAGGAAGGGUCUGCGUCGACCCCCUAUGAGUUUAGAACCCUAGUUUGAAUCGAGCAUCCUUUAGGUUUCCUUAGCAGCCCAACCUUUCUUGCAUUUUACGCCCAUAUCGAUUAAGUUUAGGAUUUUCCUUUGUUUUAUUAUAUCUUUUCUUUUCCCAUAAAACCAAAACUUACAAAAAAACCCCUGAGUUUAUUAAUUCGCUUACUUAUCCCAGUUUGAAGUUUUUUCAGAUUAGACAGCCUCUCUAUGGAUCGACACCCUAAGUACUUCAUCGCACGACUGUGCACUUGCAGGAUCCUAUGGUUUUAUAAAUUUAAAACCUAAUCUGCAACCCCGUAACCCUAGCAGCCUCAAACCCAUAAAACCCAUAAAUUUAAAUUUAUGGAUUUAUAAAUUUAAAACCUAAAACCCAUAAAUUUAAAAUCGUGGGUUUUAGGUGAAGAUUGUAAAAUGCAUCUGACUCCGUCUAUGGGUAUUCACAUGAACAAGCUUUAUCCUAAAAGAAACAAAUGAAAACCGCAAGUGCAGAGCUAAUUAAUUGUAGUACUUAGAGAUCGAAUCCACAUGCAUUUGUGUGCCGAAUACUUUUCUACGGUUUCUAAGUUUAUGUCUAGACUAAAUCAGGUUUUAAGAGGUUGGUGUGUGUCACAGUUUUAACUAAAACGAAAGAAAGCAAAUUAAUCUAUCCUAAAAAGCAAGUAGAAUAUCGAAUGAAAGCAAGCAAAAAUGAAGAUUUAAGUAAGCAGGUAAAUAAUCGAUGGAGUUGUGAACAAUAACUAAAAAUGUUGGGCUUUCGAGAACUCUAUGAGGAUCAUAAUUGGUUUUAAUAACUAGGGCUAUAGAUUGGGAUUAUUGGAUAUUGAUAUAUCUAGGGUUCUUGAGCUAGAGUACGGCGGUAUGACUACAUCACUGUCAUGAUCAUAACCUACUGUCUCUUGCAACCUUGACCAGUAGGUUUCCACUCUGGCCAUGGAAGGGAGAAAACGCAGGAACUUGUAUAGGACUCAUCAAUACUCACGACUUACCCAUAGGUAGGUUUCCACUCGUAUGGCAGAAUUGCCCGUUUCAUUCUAGGUCGGAUACUUAAUGAAAAGUUUUGUAACAAUAAUUAUCUAGAUCAGACGGGAGAUGAUCAAUCAAGCAUACAUACAUUAAGAACAAGAAUAAACAAAGAACAUAAAAUAAAAUCUGAGAUCUAAAAACCUAGAUGUCUCAUUCGAUAAUGAGAGCCCCUUUCGGGAACCCUAUGCCCAACUCGGGAUCUACUCAGACAUAGCUGAGGUUAACAUCAUCUUUGGUUUUAAUUUAAGCAAUUAAAAACAGUAAAAAAAAGGAUGAAAGAAAGCUUCUCUAAGGUUGAGAAAACUUCUUUACAAAUCGCUAAAACGGCUAAGAAAGGUUGUCUCUAUAAAAACUAUGGAAGAUAUAUCUAAAAAGGGCCUAAAUGACAAUAUUUAUAGUCUUCAAUACUCCAGGGCGUCUAGGGUUUCAGAAUUAAAGCUGAGAAAUAACUUGGGCUUCAGAAAUGGGCUUCUUAACUCUGGUGAAUGGGUGGUUGGCCGCAGUCGCAUAGCCCUGACCGUGGUAAAUGGCUUGUUGGUCGUGGUCCUGUAACUUGCUGGCAGUCUUCAAAUGUCUCUGGGGCAAAUGGAAUAUCUUGAGAUCUAACCGGUGGAAUGUCUCCAAACCAAGUGCAUUUGAAAGCUGGUUGAGUUUUGGUGUCCAAUUUUGGGGAUGAUCAGAUGGUGAGAAGGUCUUCGCCUCUCCUUGAGAGUUCUGACGAUCUGAAUUUAACCAAAAGAGUCUUUUUGUUCCAAUUUGCACCUCUUUCUCCCAAAUUACCUGAAAAAGUCUUUUGAAAUCCGAAAACAUAGAAAUUUUUUCAAAACCUUUGAAAAUGGAGUAAAAACACGUGCAAAAGAUAUUAAAGUAAUCGAUAGAAAUGGUCAAAAUCUGGUGUUAUCAGUAAUCUGACUCUAAAAAAAAAUUUUCUUUAACUUUUUGUUUUUGUUUUUCUUUGUUUGGGGUCUUAAAGCUAUGAACCCGCCUCUUGAGCGAGAUUUCUACGACGAGGAAAGUUUCUACAACACUCCUCAAGCUUACCCAAUCCAAGAAUCACAACCCUGCUGUGAUCUCCACUACAUGUAUCAGAACUCUUUCCAGAGCCAGCAGCAGCAUGGAUGCCGCAGGCCUCCAUACUUCGAAGACAAGCCUUUUUCGUCUCCUAUGGUCCACUCUAGACCAUACACUCACACAUCUCCCUAAGCAAAUCCCGAGCCACAAAAGGAAAACUUGAAGAUUGGUAGACAAUUGGGGCAGCCUUGAGAUUAUUAUCAAUCAAUAUCUUGAUCAACAAAUAGUCACCGAGACCGCUAACUUAAGAGGAUCGAUUCUUAUUCUAUAGAAUUCACCAAAACAGACUUCCUUACCUAAUCUCUUUCAAAAGCUUUUUCAAAAGAAGACGUGUGUCCGUGUGGAUCGAUAUCCUAAGUAAUACUAUGUAGUGUUCUGCACUUACAGAAGUAUGGGAUUUUAUAAACUUAAAACGAGAAGUUCUGCACCAAAUUAGACCCCCAGCAAUACACACAUCAGUGCACGAGCAUGAUAAGGUAAAUAGCUCCAUAUCAAAAAAAUUCGAGGUGGUGACAUAUGAGAGCGGAGCCAGAAUCGUAAAGGAGAAUUGAUUUCUCGACACCAGCCGAAACAUUCAGAAACGGGUCAAGUAUCCCAAGAGCAAUGCCACCGCCAGACUCCUUUCAUGAAGUAACACAUGCAGGAGUGAUGCGUGUCAACUGCGUGAGGGAACAAGUUUUACCCUUAACAAAAACAAAUGAAAGCCGCAAGUGCACAGCUAAUCAGUUGUAGUAUUUAGGGAUUGAAUCCACAGAGAUUUGUGUGCCUGGUAUUCUUCUACGGUUUUUAACUUUAUGUCUAGACUAGAUUGGUUUUAAAGGUUGGUUGUUUAUCACGAAUAAAACUAAAACUUAAAGAAAGCAAAUAAACCUAUCCUAGAAAGCAAGUAGAAAAAUUGAAUGGAAAGCAAGUAAAGCAAGUAAAAUAUCGAACUAAGCCAAUUGAAAUGCAGAUCUAAAUAAGCAAGUAAAAAUCGAUUGGUUUGUAAACUAUGGCUAAAACCGCUGAGCUUUUGGGAACUCUACAUGGAUCAUAAUCGGUUUUAACACUAGGGUAGAUAGAUUGGGAUUGACGGAUAUCGAUAUAUAGGGUUCUAGAGCUAGAGUACGGCAGUAUGACUACGUCACUGUCUUGAUCAUAACCAACUGUUUCUCGCAGCCCUGACCAGUAGGUUUCCACUCUGGCCCUGGAAGGGAGAGAACGCAAGAGCUGCACAAGGCUCGUCAAUACUCACGAUCUCGCUGCAGGUAGGUUUCCGCUCCUACGGAAAAAUCGCCUGUUUCAUUCUAGGGCUGAUACUUAAUGAAAACUUUCGCAACACUAACUAUCUAGAUCAGAUACUAGGUGAUCAAUCAAGCAUACAUGCAUUAAGAACAAGAAUAAACAGAGAACAAAGUUGAAAUCCCAGAUCUAUAACCUAGAUGUCUUAAUCGAUUAUGAGAGCCCCUUUCAGGAACCCUAAGCCCAACUCGGGAUCUACUCAGACAUGGCUGAGGUCGACAUCAUCAUUGGUUUUAAUAAAAGUAAUCAAAAACAGUAAAGAAAAUAGAUGAAGAAAGCUUCUCUAUUGAAGAACUAAGACUUGAACAAUCUUCUUCAAAAAUCGCAUAAAAACGGCUAAAGGAAAAAGGGUUUCUGUAAAGUAUGAAGGGUGGUGUCUAAAAACGACCUAAAUGACAAGUAUUUAUAGUCUUCAAUACUCCAUGGUCUCUAGGGUUCCGGAAUUGAGGCUGAGAAUGACUUUGGGCUUCAGAAAUAUGGGCUUUAGUUCGGAGUUAGCCGGCCGCGGUCGGGAGUGACGUGACCACGGGGAAUAGGUGGUUGGCCGCAGUCGGGAGGCUUGUGACCAUGGGGAAAUGGGCUGUUGGCCGCGGUCGCGUGACUUGCUGGCCGUCUUCGAGUGGCUCCGGGGCUAAUGAAAAUAUCUUGAAAUUCAAACUGUUGGAAUGUCNNNNNNNNNNNNNNNNNNNNNNNNNNNNNNNNNNNNNNNNNNNNNNNNNNNNNNNNNNNNNNNNNNNNNNNNNNNNNNNNNNNNNNNNNNNNNNNNNNNNACGGUGAGAAGGUCUUCGUCUCUCCAUGAGAGUUCUACGGUCUGCAUUUAUCCAAAAGAGUCUUUUUGUUCCAAUUUGUGCCUCUUUAUCCAAAUUACCUGAAAAGUCUAUUAAAAUCCGAAAACAUAGAAUUCCUUUGAAAACCUUUGAAAAUGGAGUAAAAACACCUGUAAAAGACAUUAAAGUGAUCCAUAAAAAUGGUCAAAAUCCGGUGUUAUCAAGGAUCUAGGCUUAACAUAGUCGAACCUCCCCAAUUGAUCAAUAGAACGAAGGGUGCAGGAGACGAACGAGGUGAGCAAUUUGGGACAGCUUGGGAGAACACCUCGGUAAGAUAAGCACGAUUGCUAUAGAUGGAAGAUUUGCGCUACCGGUGAUAAAAAUCGGCAUCAAAUAAUGAGAACUGGUCGCCUUGGCCUUGGAAGGAGUGACAGCAAAAGGAUACAAUGUCAGCUCGGUUCGAGCAAAGAAUCCGGAAGAAGAAGAAGAAGAAAAUGGUUACAGUAGGUUGAGUACGAGGACAAGCUGAGAAGGACGAGCCAGAAUCAGUAGGGUGAACUGCAUAGAAGAACAUCCCCCACUCAAAAAAGCUAGCUGAGCGAACUCCAAGCCUCCCUGGCUCAAAACGCGGCUGAGAUAAAAGUCUGUGAUCUGAAGUGCAUUAGACCAAAAGUGCCGCACCAGAGAUAGACUGCAUGUUGGAAUAAACGCAAAGAAUCUAUUUCACACCUUGGAUUACGGAGGCUAAAAUUCUAGUGAAACCUUGUUUAAGUGCCCUCCGGUUUACAAACCAGGCUAUCCCUAAGAUCCCAUUGCCUCUAGUGGAUUCAUUAUUUUGUCGGCUUUCUCAAAUUUGGAGUAUAUAUGUUUUUGGCAAAUACCGUAAUCAUCUAUAAAGAAUUUCUUAGCAAAUUUGGUACAUUUAAAAAGGUAAAAAUAAUAAAUCCUUUUAUAAUUGGGAUUCUUAUCAAAUCGUACAAGAGAAUUAUAAAGAUUGUAGAUUAAGGAAACUUCAUCGAACUCAACUCAACAUAUUAAUUAAAAUUUGGCUCCUCAAAAUUUGGUAACAAUUAUGAUUCUACCUUAGGUGAUGGGGUUUGGUAUGUUUCCUAACAAGGUUGGCAUUGUGUCCAAGAAGGUGGUAGAAUGCUUUGUAGAAGUAUAUCUUCUUUAUAUGUGAACUAGAGGCGCUUAUUUAGGCAACACACAGUAUGAUUGCACUACAGAAGACGAUGAUAAUUUUUGCAACUGUUCCGAACUGGUAAAUAUGGUGUAUGCCUCGGAGAAAUGACUUGCAUUCUCACUACAUCUUGAGGAGAUCCUGAAGAGGAAAAAAGUCUUCCAUGCGUAAAGAAUCAACGGCAUAUCUAGCACGGAAUGCUCAUGUAUCAUUUUGACAUUUUAUUUCUGUAUCAACAAUUUGAAUUUCUAAACCAUUCUACAUAUCUACUCUGUUGACAACAAAGAAGAGUAACCACAGAUAAAUAAUGUCGAUCUAGAUGAAAGGAAGUGUGUAACAUCCCGAUUUCCUUUACAUAUGGAAAGGCUUAUAAGAAUUGAUUUGGCUACCUAUGUCAACAAAGUGCACUUAUCUUUUCCGGUCAAGUGUGCUGAGAGAACUCCAGAGUUAAGCGUGCUGAUACUAGAGUAAUCUCAGGAUGGGUGACCUACCGGGAAGUACUUUGCGGUACCGUGCGAGUGAGGACAAAGCACGGGGAAAGAUCGUAUGGUGAUUGCAGGGACAGUAGACAAGUCUUACAAGCUUUCCGGAAUAACGACUCCCGACCGUCGGAAAGUGGUGGGCCCAUGUGCCUAGAGAAAGUGUUGGGCUCACUAGGAGGGACGACUAGGGGGAGUUAGGAUUGAUAUUACCGGUCCGCAUCUGGUUCCCAAAAGGAGGGCGGGAUCGGAGUGUCACAAGUGGUAUCAGAGUCGACACCCGACCAUGUGUGUGGAGUCAUGUGGACUCACACUGUCUAGGGUGAACGAUCCUGGUGCAAGCACUGUGUGAGUAGAGGUAGAAUUUGGGGACGAAUUCCUUGGAAGUCAGGGAGAAUUGUAACAUCCCGAUUUCCGGUAUAUAUGGAAAGACUUAUAAGAAUUGAUUUGGCUUCCAAUGUCAACAAAGUGCACUUAUGUUUUCUGGUCAAGUGUGCUGAGAGAACUCCAGAGUUAAGCGUGCUGAUGCUGGAGUAAUCUCAGGAUGGGUGACCUAUCGGGAAGUACUCUGUGGUACCGUGCGAGUAAGGACAAAGCACGGAAAAAGAUCAUGUGGUGAUUACAGGGAUAGUAGACAAGUCUUACAAGCUUUUCGGACUAACGACUCCCGACCGUCGGACAGUGGUGAGCCAACGGACCUAGAGAGGGCAUUAGGCUAACGGACCUAGAGAGAGGACGUUGGACCUACGUACCUAGAGAGGGUGUUGGGUUCACUGAGAAGGACGGUUGGGAGAAGUUAGGAUUGAUAUCGCAGGUCCGCGUCUGGUUUCCAAAGGGAGAGCGGGAUCGGGGUGUCACAAAGUGCAUCACAAAUACUACAAAAUAUCAGGAAAUCCGAAAAGUCUCCAUCUAUUUAGCUUCGACAUUACAUAUGGGCUAUUUUCUUUUCUUGUCAAUACUUAGGGGUUGGUUGAUAUCUCCAAUUGACAACCUCAAGAAAAAGAGGUACAUCUAUCCACAAGAAGAAAAGCAGUGGAUCAUAAUCCACGUAAGAUGUUGAGAGAGCAACGAGGGCCAGUGGAUGUGAAGAAUGAAUCUAAACCAUUAAAUAAAAACAUAGUAAUUCAUGUGGUUCGCAGCUGACAAGAAUCACAAUUAAUUAGUCAUCCAUCUGUCAUUUUUGGAAUUCACAACCUGCCAUACAAUGACCACUGGCUCUUAGUAAUAGUAUUAGGAUCAAUCCCGGUGAGAAUCACAUAUAUACAUUAGAUACUUAAUUUCAAUUUUUUUAACUUGGAAAAUAGUCUAGUUAUCAUAUGAAUUAAUUGUGAAAAUUUGUACUAUCUUGAAAGAAUAUGUUGUUUUUCAUUAAAUAACAUGCUACUUAAUUUAUUGGCAUGCUGUUUUUAAGAACUUAAACUCAACUUAAGUUUAUUAUUUUAAAAAACAAAAAUAUAUAGUUAUUUAGGUAACUUUGUAAAACGUCAUUUUUAUUCUGUUAAUUUAAUUUUUUGGUGUAUUGUUAAAUUAUUGUGGUACAGAAGUUAUUUAAGUGUGUGCUUGUAAAUCAAAUUGUCAAUUCGGACUAUUUUGUAAAAAAGCAAACUGGUACAGAAAAAAAAAAGGAGAGAUUGGUGAAGGGAGAAGACUUUUGAAGAAACUAAAGAAAAAUAAAAAAAGAUGGUCCACGGACACAUGUACAUUGUUUUAAUAACACAAAACAACAAAGUCACCUAAUACAAAAGAGCAUCCCAAAUUUCACAUGUCAGUCUUGCUGUCUUUCAUUUGUCUUCUUUACCUUCUUACAUUUUGGGUGUAACUAAAUGCUAUUCUUUUCGAAUUUGUUUCUGAAAAUUAAAAUUCAAGUAUCUGGUUGACUUUGGCGUUCACAGAACAGCUAAAAGCCUCUUCGUGGAUUGCUUGGCACAUAAGAACUUUAACCAGUUUACAAGCUCGAACGAAUACAGGUUCCCAAAUCUAGUUGUUCGCCUUAUGUCUGUGAAGACUGGUAUAUGCAGUCUUGGUGUCUGAAAGAGUGUUUUCCAUUGGUUCCGAUUAGGUAAUAUAAAGAUCAAGGAAAAAUGAGAGAGGUUAGCAAUUGAAAUCAAGAAAGUUUACCGAAUGUAUAUGUGUUAACAAAGGUCAAAAAAAUUAGUUUAAGAUCUACAUAUCUCUAUACAAUUAUUUAAGUAGGAAUUUUAAAAAAUAAUCUUAAAUAUGUAAGUUAUUACAUGAAAUGUCAUUAGACAUAACAAAAUAUAAUUGAAAAAAAAAGAAUAUAAUUAUCUUUUAAAAUUAUGUAAAAAAUUUUGGAAAAUAUCUAUUUAUAUCUCUCCAAAGAUGUCGACACCUUCACUCCUAUUCCCAUCUUCGCCGCUUCAUUAUUAUUAUAUAUUUGAAAAUAAUAAUAAUUUAUAUAUAUAUAUAUGUUGUAAAUCAGUUAUCUUAUUCCAGAGAUAACGAGGGUAUCUUAUAUUAUUAAUUAAGAAGAACAAUUAAAAAAACUUUUGUGUCAUGUGUAAUAUACAUUAGUGCCAUGUUGAAGUGUCAAGCUAGAAAGCUUUUAAGACAUGUUUUAAAAAUGGGUUUGAUUUACUAGACUUAUUACAACAUAUGUCAUUAACAUUAAUUUAAUUAGAGAUUAAUUUAUAUCAACCAUAUAUUUAAUACUCAAAAAUUUAAUUUAUAUAGAUAUUCUCUCUCUUUCUCUCUUAUCAACAUAUUUUAUAAAAAGUAAUACAUAAUAUUAUUUAUGUUACUAAACAUUAUAUUUUAUCUUAUCUUUCUUUGAUCUUAAUUUUGUUAAAAAAUCAUAUUAUCUUUUUAAUAAUAAAAAAUCUAAAUAUUAUCCUACAUAUUAUAAUUCAAAAUUUUUAUAACAAAGGUAAAGUAUCUUAAUAUGAUAUUGGAUCGGUUAAAUAGAAACGUAUUAAUCUGAUUUAAUAUAUUUAAUAUGCAAUUUCAUUCAUAUAAAAAUACUAUUAAGUUAAUUAUAAAACCAAUAAGUAUCUAGCAUUUAUGCAAUUAUAUAAAUAUAAUUAUAAUUAUUAUUUGCAAUUGUAUAAUCAGCGCAUCAAUAUUUUAAACCCGACCCAGACACCAAACUGGAGAAUCUUGUGGGUUAUCAGGUUUUGAGUCAGACCACGAGUCAUUAGAUUGAACCGCAAAUUACUUAAUUUAUUACUAUGAUCAUAACAUCCUGAAUUUUAUCUCAAAUCUGAACCAAAAAUAACAUUGGAUUUCGGUUUGACCGGUCGGACCAGUCGGGUCGAAUCAGGUUUAAAAACAUUGCAGUGCAUAUAUUUGUAAUUAUAAAUAUCACUUAACAUUUUGUAGUUGUAUUUAUAUAUAUAUUAUAUUUCCAUAUUUAAAUAAAAAAUUAUAAUUAAGAUUUAUCCCGCACAGGGUGCAGAUAAUCACUUAGUAUAUAUAGUAUUACAAAGACCCAGAUAUUACUCUAAGUUUCUGAUGUGGGACAAAUACAAUAUUAGUAAUGGGCCUUAUAAUGCACAUCCAUAUAUUAAUAUUCAUAACACUCUCCCUGAUAAUCAUUAUAACGAUAUUGUAGUAAAGCGCAUAAGAUGCUGCCUCAUUAAAAACCUGUGAGAAAAACCAUAGUUAAUGGAAAAAGAGUACAGCGCGCAUUUACUCCCCCUCAUGUGUACAUCCGUCUAAGUCCUUGAGACGUCAUAAUCCAAUAAGUUGAAUCAUCUUCUUGAAAAUAUCAGUUGGAAGCGCCUUGGUAAAUAAAUCCGCUAAAUUAUCGCUUGAGCGGAUCUGUAGAACACGAACAUCGCCAUUCUUCUGCAAGUCAUGUGUAAAGAAGAAUUUCGGUAGAAUGUGCUUUGUUCUAUCUCUUUUGAUGUAUCCUUCCUUAAGUUGAGCAAUGCAAGCAGCAUUGUCUUCAUACAUAAUUGUUGGAGCUUCUUUCCCUUAUGAUAAGCCGCAGGAGAGAUAAGGACCUGUUGAGGACCGCAAUUUUCAGUCACUUCUUCUUGCCAAAUGUUGUUGGAUAAUCCUUCCUCCUUUGUUGUAAACAGCUAUUCCUCCAGACUAAUAUUCUUUCCGGGAAUCAGAAAAUGAUCUCCAAAACACCAUGAAAUUGAACUCCAGUUGCCUUGGGACUUAAAAUUCGACAUCUCUAGACUCUCUAAGUCUUUUAUUUUCUUUCUUUUCUUAUUUUCGGAUUUUUUUUUGAUUUUUUUUGAUAAAGAAAAUGCCUCUUAAAGAGAGAGAGAGACUAGAGGACGAGAUUGUAACAAAAUUUGAGGCUUUUCUAAGGCAAACUGAGCUUCCUGUUGUGUUGAAUCCUUCCGGGAAUUUUUCCGGCAAAUCGCAGGUCUCUGUCUUUGGUGACUGAAAACUGCGUCGUUCCCCUUUCUCUCCAAUGUUUUUGCACUAAUCUGCAUAUAAGACAAUAGAAAACAAGAGUGCAUGUGGUUUGAAAGAGGAUUGGUUAAGGUGGGGAACUAGCCAAAGAUGAACUAGCCAUUCAGGAUCAACAGAGAGUGGUAAAAUGAUAAAGGAGUCCUGAAUGUAUGAUUCGUUUCCCUGGUCUAGUGCAUGAGAAAAUUAAGUCCAAAUAAAUUCCAAAUAAAACAGAGCUAGUGUAUUCCUUCAUCUAAAUCGAAAUCAUUCAAAUUCCUCUGGGUACUUCGUUUCAAAUGUGCUUGGCUACCGCCUAGUCUAGUCCUAAAUCAUGAAUGAGCAUGUCACUAGGAACAGUCUAAAAGGACACAGUCAACUAUCAUUGAUUCAUGUUCACCAUUUCCUUUUAAAACGUAUUUUGUUUUGAAAACCGGUUUUGAAAAACUUUAAGGAAAAUGCAAAAAGUGUAGAUAAUGCAAGACUCAUGAAAGAAAAGUGGUUAGAAAGGGAUGAAAUCCUCCCCCAGACUUAAAUCACACUGUCCUCGGUGUGAAACAAGUCGAGAUUGGAUGAGAAAAUGCAUAGAUAAUCGAAUUGGUAAGGCAAAAGAGAACUUACCUGGAUCCGGGAUGCUGGUGGAGAUGAACCGGAUUCAUUCGAAGAAGUUUGGUAAGGUGAUAGGUGGUGAUGAAGGUGGUGGGAAGUGAUGAAUGAGGUGGAGUGGGGAUUGGUGAGGUGGAAUGAGGUGAAGUGGGUGGUUUGGGGUCGGGUUUCGUCUCAACGACCAUUCACCGCGGUCAGAGGUCACGUGACCGCGGUGAAGUGGUGCUCGGCCGCGGUCGAAUAGGUGUUUCCCGCGGUUAGAACACCUGCAACCGAGGGAGCUUAUAUCGCGGCCUGUUCCUGCUUCUCCGUGGUUCCUGCUGGGCCGAGCAGUCAGGGACCAUCCUUCUUUUUGGUUUUUUCGGUUUUUUUUUAUUAUUUUUGUUGCCUUUUUUGUUUUAUAAGAAACACCUGAAACUAAGAAGAAGAAAAAGAUCAAAAGAAAAAGAAAGAAAGAUCCUAAAGAAAACAAUACCUAAAUGGGUUGCCUCCCAUUAACCGCUUCUGUUUUAAGUCGUUUAGCUCGACUUUUGGUGUUGGACGUGGCUUAGUCCAAUGAAGAAGACCUUGUCCUGAGACAAGUCUUUUUUUACAUCUCCUUGCUUUUCCUAGCAGGUUCUAUCACUCCAAAGCUCUUCUUCAAACUCUUCUAUUGCAGAAUGUUUUCCUGCUUUGCUAUUGUAUGGGACAGCUUCUGUGAAGACAUUUUUGUCGAUAUUAGCAAACGAAAUUCUCCGGUUUGGCCAGUCCAUUAUAUCUCCAAAAUUUGCUAGAAAAGACCAUCCGAGAAUAACUGGAUGUGUUGCGUCUCUCGUUUCAACAGGCACAAUGCAAUCUCCUAUUCUCAAAGGAAUUUCACGAGCUAUCCUUGUGGCGUUGCAUUGGAAUCAUCAGCUAGACUAAUUCUUGCUCUAGUCCUGCGCAGGUGUUUAAUACCAAGUCUCAAAGCCAUUGCCUUGGACAUCAUGUUAAGACAAGCUCCAUAAUCACAAAGCACGUUUUUAAACAUUUCUCCUCUAAUAGAACAAGCGAUGAGAAACUGACCUGUAGUCUUGACCUUAUGGAGAAUUCGAACUUUCCUUUCUCUGUAGGUAUUGGUGGGUGUUUCAAACACAGAAUAGGACUCACAAAAGAAGGCUGCAGCGUCGUAUUCAAUGAUUGAAUCGAUGUAUGGCAUCUUUAUCUUCCUGCACAUCGGGUCUUCUUGGAUUGAAGAGUCAGACGAAUCUUCAACACAUUCCUUUGCCAUCAUACAAGGUAAUGAUUCCUGCCAAUCCGUUUCUUCAUCUGAAACUUUGUUUUCUUCUUCCUGAGUUGCUUUUUUAGGUGCUGGAGGUUAGAGUUGGGACAGAAGAUGUAUUAUUUUCCUUUCAAAUCCCGGAGUGAAUCUGAACGACCAACUCCCGCGGUCAGAGGCGUCGCGACCGCGGGAAAAGGAGCCUUGGCCGCGGUGGGAACGGUCGGACCCGCGGCUCCGGAUAUGAUUUGCUCAUAGUCCGCUUCUUCCUUCUUGUACUUGAUAUGAACCUCUCCAGCUUUUUUAUUUGGUAGACCAGCACUAUAUGAACUCACACCAGGGUGUUGUUGUGCAUCUUCAUCAGGAUCUUUGGGAGAUUUCUUAGAAAAUCUCACAAUUUGCUCAAUGUUGGGCAUCUGUUCCAUUCUUGCAUCAAUCUCCCGUGCCUUGAGCUCGAGUUUGUUCAGCCUGUGCUCGAUCUCCUGCAGCUCUUCGUCUGUCUUCUCUCUAUACCAGGAGGCGGAUUCUCUGACUUCUUUGAUCUCUUGCUUCGAUUCGACAAUAUCACUUGAGUUCUGUAUGAUAUCAUAUCCUUGUCUUGUCUGCUCUGUUGCGACUUGGUGGAUCAUCCCAGCUAGUGUUUGUGCGUCCUUCUGGGUUUGUUCUUCCAGAACUCGAACAUGAUUGGCCAGAUCAUCGAAUUUUCUGUUGAACUCUUCAGAAAUUGAAUCAAUUCUCUUGAGCGGGUGUUUUCGGUGAGAAUCUGCUGAUCAAGGAAUUGGUUUAUCAUUCCUUCGAGGCGUCCCAAACGUCUGCUGAUCCUCAAGUUGUCCUCUUGCUAACUAGGGUUCUACGGUGGAGGAUUAUAAGCGUGUGGCUCGAAGUAGGUCGGAGGAGGACCAUAAGGAUCUUCCCGGCGUCGAACAGACUCUCUGCGCCGGUGGUAUGGAUGAUUUGGCUGGCUGUAUCGAUCCAUGUAGCUAAGAUCUCGGGCUUGGUGUUCUUCUCUGCGUCUGGUUGCUUGAGGAGUGUUGUAGAAACCUUCCUCAUAGUAGGGAUUUCGAUUUAUAGGAUCCAUAUCUUCUAAAAUGGAAACAAAAUAACCGGAAAAUGGAAAUAUACAGAAAAGGGGUUCUAGAGUCGAUUUACCAACCUUUCUUAGGGUUUUGCGGAAAAGAAAACACGUGCCUUUCCCGGCAACGGCGCCAAAAACUUGAUGUGUGUCGUGUGUGAGGGUGUCAAAUUUUACCCUAAAUGAAAUCAAUAGCCGCAAGUGCACAGCUGAUCGAUUGUAGAACUUAGGGAUCGAAUCCACAAGGAAGAAGGAUCUUUCCUGCAAAAGCCUUCGAAAGAAAUAUAAUGUAGGGAAGUCUAGAACCAGGCGAGUUUUGUGAGGGUUUUGGUGGUGUGUUUAGAACGUAAAAUCAAAUCUUAAAGAGAAAAUACGAGAAUUAAAAUGACCUAAUAACUAAACUUAACGAAAACGAGUAAAAACAAGAAAAACGGCUAAACCUAAUUGCUUUAAUAAAAAUCGAUUGAAAGAGUAAAUAAACUAGACUAAAGUUUGAAUGCAAAUCGGUGUAAAUCUAUAAGAAAGAAAGCGCUGGGAUUCAAGAAGUUUUCUCAGGGGUAUGAACGAUUCAAAACAUUGCUAGAAAGUAAAUUUGAUAAGAUCUUAGCUUAAACUUUUCGAACUGUGAUAACUAAGGUUUUCAAGGCCUUAAUAAGGGUUAUCAAUCCCUUAGCUGUUUCAGCAUAAAGGAUAUCAAUCCAUAAGUGUGGUUGCCAGACACUAGUUUAUGUGAUAAACUCUUAAGUCAAGUGAUCAAAGAUGAGUUUUGGUGUGAACAAAGUAACAAGAAAGCAUAAAACAAGGAACAAGAAAAGCAAUGAUUAAUGAACUAAACAAGGCAACAAAACAAGAUGAUGGUGCUUAAGCAAAUGAUGGAAGAUAAGCCUCUAGGUGUGAUCAUUGAUUAGGGUGCUUUCAUUGCAAACUAAUGAUGCUAAACAACAAUGCAACACUUGCUACUCUUUAGACUUGGCUUCUUAAUCAGAUUAAUCCACUCUCAUGACAGAAAUCUCUUUGCAAAUCACUUAAUCAAGUCUAACAACCAUUCGAGAUAACCAAGCAAUCAACAAGCAUAAUGUUCCAAGCCUAAUUAGUGACCAAACAAUCUUUGACAAAGAAAGACUGAAUCUUAUACAGAAAGACAUAGCAAGAAAUUACAUGAUCUCAAAACCAAUUAACUUAGAACUCUAAACUAGAUUAAUCCUCUCAUGAAGGCAUUAACCUCUACACUAAUCCAUUUUGAAACCAAAUUCUCAUUUGUGAAAUAUGAAUCAAUGAGCAUUAAGAAACAGUUCUAAUAUGUCAUUCAUGCAUUUAACAAACAUCAUCAUGGCAUUAAUGCAUAAACCCUUAGUUAGCUUUCAUUCAGGCAUUUCAUCAAACACUUUUGUUGCAUGAAAAACCCAAAUUCUAGACCCAAGUGAUGUGCAAGGAUAUAGCAUUAGGAUCAGCUAACUAAGGAAAAGAUAAGAGAAUCUAAGCUUAAACAAUCAUUAAUCUACAUCUAAGCACCCUAAUUUACACACCUAAAAGCUUAAAAGAGAGACUACUCACUAAUCAUGAUGAACACACCAUUUCCUUUGCAAGAGGUGAUGUUGAUCAUGAUUAGAAGUUAAGAUGAGAUGAUGCAAUGAUAAGAAAAAGCUUUUAUAUGAUUAAAUCUGCAAGAUGUCUCUUAAUCAAAAACGUUUUUACACUGAAAAGGAAAGAAAACAAGAGAGAAACUAAGAGAGAAGAUAACCUCUUGGGGUUUUCUCCCAAAAAACUAUUUAUACUAAGGGUCUUGGACCGGAUCAGCCCAGAACAAACUGGGUACUGACCCGGCUUCAGUUGGGUCUGGUGGCUGGUGUGCGAGAUGGUCACGUCCAUGGCUGACCCGCACACUCAUCUCACAACAAAAGAAGCUCAAGACUCCUAGAUGGUCAAGUCCUUUAUCAGCCGCACAUCCAUCUAGCACUUCAUCUUGCAUGUUCUUGUGCGGCUCAGUUCAGCUCCUUCCCCACUCGCAAGACCAGGUCGCACACUCCAGAAUGUAUAUGUGAAAGAUGUUCACUUCCUUGUCCAAGUCGCAUGCCCAAGUCGGUGUAAUUUGCGAACACAUGUGCUACAUGGUUCCACUUCAUGUCCAACUCGCAGGCCUAUCUCGCAGGCCUAUCAGCACAGCAUUGUGGACUUACUCAAAUUUGAUUCUGGAAGUCUCUACCUUGCUCAGAGUCUCCUUACACUCAUCUCUAAAGUCUCAACUUAAUUCCAGAGCGUUGAACAUUCAUGGGUGCGAGUUAAUCAAGUCGUGGUACCGUAUCGCACAACCUAAGCCUUCUCGGACCACUUUGCAUUCAGGGGAGAGUAACUUCCAGGAUAUUGAUCCAAAUGGCAUGAUUUCAACUGAAUUGGAAAGAAAACUCAAAUAUCUCGAACUUUGGUGAAGGAAACCUCAGUUCUUGGGAAGUGGAAGGUUCCGCGGAGGGCUCAUCUUUGCAGUACAUUGACACGGUUAGAAAGAGGCUUCUAGACAUGAGUCCAUUCCGGAAACGUUAUCUUCUUGAUCAUAGCUCUAAAUUGAAUGAUCUAAAACGUUAUGGAAAGAGGACUCAAAUAUCUGAAAUCUUCAUGACGGAUCGGUAGACUGAAUCGGUCUGGAAGCGCAUCUUCCUUCGCAAUAUUCGGAGCUCAUUGGGUCGGUCCUGAAACUGUCGCGAGACAGGUGUAUCUUCUGGUGAGCUUAACUCUCAUUUCACGACUCUAAAUCCAAUGAUUCGACCUGUUCUGGGACCGUGACUCGAUCUCCAACUUUUGUGAAGGGUUCGGGUUCAGGUGACGUCGGCAAGGGCUCCGUUCCACCGGUUCUUUGAUGCGUGUUGCUUUGGUCCUUUAUCCGCUCCGAGACAUGUACUGCUUCUUAUUGCCGUACCUUUCAGCUCAAAACUGCAAAUAGGACGAUCUAAAGUGUUCGGGAAACUAGACUCGAUGCUUUGGAUUCUUUACGAAGACUCCAAAGGCUGAAUCUUGAUGAAAGUCCUCCUUCUCAGGUGAUCAAGUUGAGGGAUCGUCGGCUCCAUAACACUUGUCCGAGUCUGAUGCACAUAAGGUGAUGGUUUGUCCAUGGCUUUUGUCCCAAUUGCUCCCAACUAGCUCCAAAUGACCUGUAAACACUCCAAAAGUGCAAAAAUCUCUAGGACCUAAUGCAAUUCCUAACUAAAGACAAAAGCAAAGACAAAUAUAUGUAAAACUACCUAAAUGUAUGCAUGAGACUCAAUAUUUAGACAAAAAUGCAGUCCUAAACAAGAACAAAUGAGAGAGAGAGGUUGAAUGAAUGGAAGUUCAUAUUUCCUUUGAGAGAAGUGACCACUAAGAGAAUUCAAGUUCAUGCUCAAUAUGCAAUGCAAAACCAUACUUUGGUGUAUCAACUCAACAGUAAUCUCCACAAGUUCUCCUAUUCCUCAACUCUUUAACAUUCAUUAAGCUUUUUACCAAGUGGAUCAAAUGAUGCAUUGUUUAAACAAACAAAGUUUGGCUAGGGUGAGGUUAUGAGACUAAAAUGAUCUCAUCAAUGCCUGAGUGGGUUCAAUGCAGCAAAAUGAUCUCUCUAUGAAUGACCAAACUUUGGCAGAAUGCUAAAGGUAAAAGGCAACCUAUGCAUACAAGGGCAAGGACUCAUCCCACCCCACACUCUACUCAAAGUUUCCUCACUUGCUUACUUUUCACACUCCUUCUUCUCUCACUAGGGGAUUCACUUUUCCUUUUCAUACACAAGUCUUGGAGUUCAAACUUUCCAUAGCUUUUUUCACUUUCUUUUGUAACCUCUAACCUCUUUUUCUUUCUUUUUAAAAUAUUUGAGCUCUUUGGCUUCUUUUCUUUUCUUUUCACUUAGAGGCUAGACUAUUUCUUUUCAAAACACUAGAGCUCACUUUCUUUGACUCAAAACUCCAAGACUGAUUUCUUUUCUUUUUUUAUCCCCUAGUUCUCACCAUUCUCCUUUUAUUUCCACUCAUCUCUCCUUUUUCCACUCACCAACAAGUAUUCCCCCACACUUAGUUCUUGCCAAAUCUCUCAGCUCCUUGAUGAUGGAACUUAGCACUCAAUGAGACUUGCCCUUGUCGCCCUAAACCUAACACUUUAUGCUAAGUUUGGUCCACGGUGGCCUCUCAAUCACACACAAACAAUUGGCUUGAAAGAAGGAUGGGUUCAGGGUGAGAAAAACUGAUCUAUUAUGCAGAUUCAGCUAUUUGAGCUAAGGAAGAGGAUGGUAAAAACAGGAUUUUAGCUCAAAUAUGUAUAUUGAUAUCCACAAGCUUAUUCAAACAAUGCACCAAAUGAUAAUUUCAAGUCAAGUUCAGGGUUUUCACUUAUUAGAGUUGAGUUCAAUUCAAACUUGCUUCUCAGAUUCAAAUCAUUUCAAGCCUUGCAAGCACAGAAAUCAUUUCACAAGCAUAUUUGGUCCAAAUUCUCUAAGUGAUGUACUCUUAAGAAAAAACUAUCAUUACUCCCAGCAAGAUGCAACCUAUAUGAUGCAAGCUAGACUCAAUCCUAAAAUGUGAAUGCAGCUACAUGAACAUUUUUUUUUUGUGUUAGAAUUUUCAAAUAUUUCAAUUUUUUUUUUUUUUAUAUGCACUAAAUGCUAUGCAUGAUCAAAUGAGACUCAAAAAUGCAAAAGAGAAAAUAAGAACAUAGAAAACAUGAUUAGUAAACACAAAGCCUCUCCCCCACACUUAAAUAACACAGUCCCUUGUGUUAUAAAAGCAUGAGAAAGGGGAAAAAUCAAACAUGAAUUGCAAAAGAAAAAGAAAAAUGCUAAAUGCUCAUUUACAAGUGUUUGGAGUGAUACCUGGUGUGGUUCUUAUGCAAAAGGGGAGUGAGUAUCUGCACCAGAUGAGGCCAUACAUCACUGGAGAUGGGUUUGGCUUGGCCUGAACUCCCUUGUGCGACAUGGACUUGUCUUGGACCAAGUCGCACACCCAAGUCGCACAUAAAGCUUGGUGAAUGCAGUUGUGCGACAUGGGCUGCUCUCCUUCAUAUCUCGUACACCCAAGUCGCACAUCAAGCUUCGUGAAAGUUCUGGCCUUCUUUGUUGCUGCUACAUGGCCCUAGAAGACACCAACCCGCACACCCACGUAGGUGUGAUUUGCGAACAGGUGUGCUACUUGGAUCAGGGGAGAACUGACUCGCACACCCAUGUAAGUGUGAUUUGCGAACAGGUGUGCUAGAUGGGACCUGACCUUGUCCAACUCGCACACCCAAGUAGCACACGUGGCGGCUCACCAGUUUUCAUUCCUUAAGUCCUUCAUCAGCUUGUUCUCAGACUCCUUUUCACUUUGUCAUUGGACCACAGCAUCCCUAAGUUACCUUAGACCUGAAAACACUUCACAAAACCCAUCAAAAUAUCCUAAAACAUGAAAAAGAAGAGAAAAAAUUUAAAAAAGUUAUGUACAAGGAUAAGCUUGGGGUGUCUCCCAAGAGCACUUUAUUUAAAGUCACUAAGUUUGACUUUGAAAAACCUGUCUUUAGCUGGGGUGAGGUUGAGCACUGAUGCUCUUCAGCAUUUCAAUGGUCCUGAGCAGGAAAGAUGAGGAUGGCUGCCUUUGAUAACCAUUAGACCCUUGUCCUUGAUGUCCCAUCUUUAGGCCUUUGUUCACCAGCUCCUGAAUACCAUCUGGUCCUUAUCAAGUAUUGCCUUUGUGAGACCUGCCCUUACCUUAGCAAACAGUCCUGCUUUCCCAUUGCAAUCCAGCUUAUACUUCAGAGAUCCAUUAUCGUCAGCCCAAGGAGUCAGAGUAAAAUCUUGAGAAGAAGGGUCAGGUUCAAUGCUCUUAUCUUUUGAUGCUGAGCCAUCACUCAUGGUGUUCAUCAUCUUUUGAUCAACAAGUGUAGGAGACCAUGAGAGCAAGAUGUCUUCUUCUCUGAUCAAUGGCCCUCCAUUCUCAUACUUGUAACCAUUGGGGUGAGGGUCUCUCUCCUUCUCCAAAGCUGAAAGAGAUUGAGAUCCACCUAGAAUUCCAGCAGUGCCCACAUACUUCAUCUCAAGUACCUUAGGGGGUUCUAUUUCUUGAACAACUGAUCCACAAAAUUCAGCCAAACGAGGUGUAACAAGGUAAAAGACAUCCUUAUCCACCUUUGAAAGCACCACUCUUUGAGUAUCAAAGUCAAUCAUUGCACCAGUGGUGUUGAGAAAUGAAGUUCCAAGCAAUAUGGGGAGCUCUUUGGUCUUCUUCAUCUUCAUGAUCACAAAAUAAGUGGGAAUUAUGCAUUCACCAACCUGUAGUGGAUAGUUUUCCCAAAACCCAUAUGGUUUCUUGGAGUAGGAAUCUCCAAAGGUGAUAGAAGAAGCAUAGGAUGUUAUAGACUUGACCUUUAGCUUCUCCAUCAUGUCCUUAGACAUUAUACUAACACUUGAGCCUGAAUCACACAAAGCAUUCUCGACCCUAUAUAAAGUUUCCAAGAGUGCAUUGAAUUUCCCUGGAUUGCCUAGCUUUGGGAGGGAGGUGGGUUUCAUCUGAGUUGAUUCAGAGGUGGAGGCACUAUCUGUUGGCUUUGCUUGACCAGUUGGCAGCUCCUUUGUUUCAAUAGACACUGAAUCAUUCCCUUGCUGAACAGAAAAAACUAAACCGGCUGCCCCCACACUUUCAUUCUUAAUGUCCUCAUUGAGUUCAUGUAAGAAGCCCAUGAAAUCCUCUAUAAUGGCAUUCUCAUCCACAUGAGUUUGUGCAGGUUCACUAGAGACUUAGACCAUAGAGAAGGUCUUCUAUUUCUUGCACAGCAGCUGAAUGGUCAUCAUUGCAGUAGAUGGCAUUGCAGUAAUCUUUUGAGUUUUGAAGAGCUUUACCAGGAAGAGAGACUUGUGGUUCAGAAGUGCAGAUGCCCUUGUUCUUUUUAAUAGCCGUUAUUUCAGCUCCUAGUGUCUCCAGGUCGGAUACCAUCUUUUGUUGUCCUAUUAAGAGCUGUUGGAGAACAACAUUGAAAUCAGGACUUUGUUGAACAGGUGGUGGGGCAAAACCAGGAGGUGGUGGCCUUUGUUUCUGGAAGCUGAGUUGGUUAUUGAAGCUGUUCCCUUGUGGCUUAGCUGUUGGCUGCUGAAAAGCUUGUUGACCUUGGAAGUUACCUUGGAACUGAUUCUUUUGAGCAAAGCUUUGUUGACCUUGUUGGGGAGGGUAUACUUGAUCUUGGGGAUUGGCUACAUUGGUGCUUCUAUAAGACAAGUUCUGGUUCUUGUUGAAGUUGUUGUAACCCUGAAACUUGUUCUGAUUACCUAUGUAGUUCAGCUCCUCUUUUGUAAGGCCCACUUCAUUGAUGUUCUCAAAGCAACUCCUCUCUUGAGACUCACCUACAUAGUGUAUAGGCUUUUGAGUGGCAACCAGGGCUUUGUCAAGCUUGAUAUGCAGCUCUUUGAUCUUCUCUUCCAACCUUUGUUGGGUACUAGAGUCCUCACAUCUGUUGGCUCUAUCAAAGUCUUCUCCAUAGGUGUCUUGGCUCAUGGCUAAGUUCUCAACAACUUCCAUGGCUGCAGUGAUUUCUUUUGCCAAGAAAUUCCCAUUUGAUGCUGUGUCCAACUGAUUCCGGAUCUUGGGAACAGCUCCUCUAUACAAAGUGCUAAGGAGAGAGGCUUCUGAAACCCCAUGAUGUGGACACUGAUUUGUAUAGCUUCUAAACCUGUCCCCAGCUUCUCCAAAGGUCUCAUUAGAAUGCUGUGUGAAGUUUGAAAUCUGGUUCCUUAGCUUGGCAGUCCUUGAGCUUGAGAAGAACUUAGAUAAAAAGGCAAGCUUGCAUUGCUCCCAAGUUUGGAUUGAUCCUCUUGGAAGGUUCUUCUCCCACUGGUGUGCCUUAUCCCCAAGGCUGAAUGGAAACAAUCUCAGUUUGAACCUGUCUUCAGAUACCCCAUUGAUCUUCGUGAGAUCACAAACUCUGUCAAACUGAUCUAGGUGCUCCAAGGGAUCCUCCAUAGGUAAGCCAUGGAACUUCUGAUUCUGCACCAUACUGAUCAAAGAAUCUUUGACUUCAAAGUUGUUGUUCUGCACAAGAGGUGGCCGGAUUCCUGCUCGGUCAUUCUCACCAACAAAGACUGGUGGUGGCUGAUGACGUUUGGGUGGGUUUGGGUGGGGCUGUGGUGGAUUAACCUGAGGUUGGUCUUGGUGCUGGGUACCCUGAGCUUGUCCCUGAUGGACCGGAGCUUGUUGAACCUGAAUUCCAAUCCCAUUACCAGCUCUUUGACCGUGAUCAGCUUCUUGAGCCUGAUGCUCAUUCCCAACUUGCUGAUCCAUUCCUAACCUUUCCAAGUGAACAACUCUUUCUCUUUGUCUUCUUGCUUGGCUUCUUGUGAUCAUAAACCUGAAAACAAAGACAGAACUUGAAAGGUGAUCAGUAAAACAAAAGAAACUUGAUCUCAAAAACUAUAUCAGAAACUAAUGCUAACAAUGCCCACACAAUAUGGCAACGGCGCCAAUUGAUAACUAAGGUUUUCAAGGCCUUAAUAAGGGUUAUCAAUCCCUUAGCUGUUGCAGCAUAAAGGGUAUAAAUCCAUAAGUGUGGUUGCCAGACACUAGUUUAUGUAAUAAUUUCUUAAGUCAAGUGAUCAAAGAUGAGUUUUGGUGUGAAAAAAGUAACAAGAAAGCAUAAAACAAGGAACAAGAAAAGCAAUGAUUAAUGAACUAAACAAGGCAACAAAACAAGAUGAUGGUGCUUAAGCAAAUGAUGGAAGAUAAGCCUCUAGGUGUGAUCAUUGAUUAGGGUGCUUUCAUUCCAAACUAAUGAUGCUAAACAACAAUGCAACACUUGCUACUCUUUAGUCUAGUCUUCUUAAUCAGAUUAAUCCACUCUCAUGACAGAAAUCUCUUUGAAAAUCACUUAAUCAAGUCUAACAACCAUUAGAGAUAACCAAGCAAUCAACAAGCAUAAUGUUCCAAGCCUAAUUAGUGACCAAACAAUCUUUGACAAAGAAAGACUGAAUCUUAUACAGAAAGACAUAGCAAGCAAUUACAUGAUCUCAAAACCAAUUAACUUAGAACUCUAAACUAGAUUAAUCCUCUCAUGAAGGCAUUAACCUCUACACUAAUCCAUUUUGAAACCAAAUUCUCAUUUGUGAAAUAUGAAUCAAUGAGCAUUAAGAAACAGUUCUAAUAUGUCAUUCAUGCAUUUAACAAACAUCAUCAUGGCAUUAAUGCAUAAACCCUUAGUUAGCUUUCAUUCAGGCAUUUCAUCAAACACUUUUGUUGCAUGAAAAACCCAAAUUCUAGACCCAAGUGAUGUGCAAGGAUCUAGCAUUAGGAUCAGCUAACUAAGGAAAGGAGAAGAGAAUCUAAGCUUAAAUAUUCAUUAAUCUACAUCUAAGCACCCUAAUCUACACACCUAGAAGCUUAAAAGAGAGACUACUCACUAAUCAUGAUGAACACACCAUUUCCUUUGCAAGAGGUGAUGUUGAUCAUGAUUAGAAGUUAAGAUGAGAUGAUGCAAUGAUAAGAAAAAGCUUUUAGAUGAUUAAAUCUGCAAGAUGUCUCUUUAUCAAAAACGUUUUUACACUGAAAAGGAAAGAAAACAAGAGAGAAACUAAGAGAGAAGAUAACCUCUAGGGUUUUUCUCCCAAAAAACUAUUUAUAUUAAGGGUCUUGGACCGGGUCAGCCCAGGACAAACUUGGUACUGACCCGGCUCAGUUGGGUCUGGUGGCUGGUGUGCGAGAUGGUCACGUCCAUGGCUGACCCGCACACCCAUCUCGCACCAAAAGAAGUUCAAGACUCCUAGAUGGUCAAGUCCUUUCUCAGCCGCACAUCCAUCUAGCACUUCAUCUUGCAUGUUCUUGUGCGUGCUCAGUUCAGCUCCUUCCCCACUCGCAAGACCAGGUCGCACACUCCAGAAUGUAUAUGUGCGAGAUGGUCACUUCCUUGUCCAAGUCGCAUGCCCAAGUCGGUGUAAUUUGCGAACACAUGUGCUACAUGGUUCCACUUCAUGUCCAACUCGCAGGCUUAUCUCGCACAGCAUUGUGGACUUACUCAAAUUUGAUUCUGGAAGUCUUUACCUUGCUCAGAGUCUCCUUACACUCAUCUCUAAAGUCUCAACUUGUUUCCAGAGCGUUGAACAUUCAUGGGUGCGAGUUAAUCAACUCGCAGUACCGUAUCGCACAACCUAAGCCUUCUUGGACCACUUUACAUUCAGGGGAGAGUAACUUCCAGGAUAUGGAUCCAAAUGGCAUGAUUUCAACUGAAUUGGAAAGAAAACUCAAAUAUCUCAAACUUUGGAGAAGGAAACCUCAGCGCUUGGGAAGUGUAAGGUUCCCCGGAGGGCUCAUCUUUGCAGUACAUUGACACGGUCAGAAAGACGCUUCUAGACAUGAGUCCAUUCCGGAAACGUGGCUCCAAAUUGAAUGAUCUAAAACGUUAUGCAAAGACUCAAAUAUCUCAAAUUGAUGACGGACCUGUAGACUGAAUCGGUCUGGAAGCGCAUCUUCCUUCGCAAUCUUCGGAGCUCAUUGGGUCGGUCCUGAAACUGUCGCGAGACAUGUGUAUCUUCUGGUGAGCUUAACUCUCAUUUCACGACUCUAAAUCCAAUGAUUCGACCUGUUCUGGGACCGUGACUCGAUCAUCUCCAACUUUGGUGAGGGUUCGGGUUCAGGUGACGUCAGCAAGGGCUCCGUUCCACCGGUUCUUUGAUGCGCGUUGCCUUGGUCCUUUAUCCGCUCCGAGACAUGUACUGCUUCUUAUCGCCGUAACUUAUAGCUCAAAACUGCAAAUAGGACGAUCUAAAGUGUUAUGGAAACUAGACUUAACGCUGUGGAUUCUUUACAAAGACUCCGAAGGCUGAAUCUUGGUGAAAGUCCUCCUUCUCAGGUGAUCAAGUUUAGGGAUUGUCGGCUCCAUAACACUUGUCCGAGUCUGAUGCACAUAAGGUGAUGGUCUCUCCAUGGCUUUUGUCGCAAUUGCUCCCAAUUAGCUCCAAAUGACCUGUAAACACUCCAAAAGUGCAAAACUCUCUAGGACCUAAUGAAAUUCCUAACUAAAGACAAAAGCAAAGACAAAUAUAUGUAAAACUACCUAAAUGUAUGCAUGAGACUCAAUAUUUGGACAAAAAUGCAAUCCUAAACAUGAAAAAAUAUGUGUAUAUCAAACUGGAGUCACGGACGUAUGAAUACGCCACUGUCGUGAUCAUAGACAACUAUCUCUCUCAACCCUGACCAGUGGGUUUCCACUUUGGCCCUGGAAAAGAAGAGUUGCAUUAUGUUUAAGACUCAUCAGCAUUCACAAAUCGCCCAUAGGUAGGUUUCCACUCCUAUGUUUGUUUUGCUCUCCCAAACUAGAUCUGACACCGGAUGAACACUUUCGUGUCACCUAGAAUCUAGAUCAGAUUGUACUUCAUGACACUACUCUGACGCAUUAAAAGUAGAUUCAGAAGAAAAAGUUCUAAGAUUCGGCUUCAAUAGCUCAUGGAAUCCUCAUCGAACAUAUAUAUCCUCAUCGAAAAUCUCUUAGACUCAACAAUAAAACUACUCAGACAUGAUAAACGAAAUCAAAAACAUAGUAUUAAAACGUAGUACAGAAAUCGAAAUUGAAAAAGAAAGAACAAGGGUUCAAGAGAUGGAUCUCUCUCUCCCUAAAAGCUAAAGUAAAAACAAUAAGCAAAUAAGCUGCUGUAAAAGGUGACGAUGAUUAGGGUUCCUAAAACAUGUAUUUAUAGUGCUUAAGACAUCUCUGGGUGUCACUUAGGGUUUCUCCAAAUGAGUAAAUCAUUUUGGGCUUCAGAAAUGGGCUUUCGGGUUCGGAGUUAGCUGGCCGCGGUCGGGGAGCUUGUGACCGCGGGGAAUGGCCUGUUGGCCGCGGGUGGAAACGCUUGCCAGCUGGUUUACUGGACAUCUUGCUCUUCGAGUAUCUUUGGAUUGAACCGUUGGAUUGCCAAGCUGUAAAGUGUGCUGGAAAGCUGAUACUUCCAUCUUUAAGAUCUCCAAAUUUGAGCUGGAUCAGAACGUGAGAAGGCCUUCAAUCGGGGGUGAACUUCUGACAGUUUGACUCUGAGCUGAAAUCUGGUCUUCUAUCCAUUUUGUUAAGCUUUUCCCUAAGUUUCCUGAAAAGAGUCUUGGAACUACAAAUACUAGAAAAACGUAAUAAAAGUACUUGAAAGCAAUUAAAAACAUAUAAAAAGUAUUUCAAAACGAUCCAUAAAAGUGGUCAAAAUACGGUGUUAUCAGCUUUCUUUCUUGUCACACGAAAGCACUUCUUUCAAUCAUGAAAGAGAUCAAAAACUUGCUCAAAUAUCAUUUUAGGUGUGGUACUACAAGACCAACUAUGUAUGAGCAUUUUGUAUGUAAAAGCAUACAAGGAUCUUUGAGACAAUAUUUAUUUCUCUAGUUUACAAUUUUGAGAACCUCAAGACAAACUUGUCAUUCUAAAGUUUCUUCUUCCAAAUUUCGACUUCCAAUAACUCUUCAAGAGUUUUGACUAUGUCCAAACCAAAGAUUCCAUUGAUCCAUAAUCUUUUGAUACAUACACGUGGUUAUAUUGAUUAUCGUAUAAUAUCUACUGUAAGAGUAUACCUUGUGAAGCAUAUUUGCUUUAAUUCAAUCCAAUAGCCAGUGUUCUUGAGAACAUCAUUUUGAAAUCAUUAAUCAUUCUAAUUGCUUCUAGCAAUUUGAUUUCAUUUUAGAACUAAAUCAAGUCUUUCUUUCAUUCUUAGACUGAUAAAGGAUCUGUAAAAUGGUUGCAUCCACCACAAGAAAAUAUAUAUUUUCAUGUAUCACUUUCAGUCAUCUUUCGUAUAAAGAUCCACUUAUAUCUCACAAGUUUUACACUUUCAAGUGUACGGACUACUGGUCCAAAUCUUUCUCUACAAGAAAUUUAACUUUUUCCCAAACGGCAUUUACCAUGAUUGGCCAAUCAUCGCUUUACGCGUUUUUCAAUACAUCUUUUGUACCGCGGUUUAUGAUCUUCAUUUCACAUCAUCAACUGCUUUAUUACAUGCAAAAUAUUAUUGACGUUGAUUUGCUUUUGAUUCCAUUCAUGACUCAAUUAGUUGAAAUCUCUUAUCAUUACUAAGUACCUAGAUUUCUUUAUUUCUCAUGUCUAUAUCUAUUCUAGAGAAUCCUUCCUCGACUUUGCCAUUUUAUAUUAUGCUCAUUUUUCUUUUCGAAGAUUCUUAUCUUUGGAAUCAGUAGGUCUAUCAUGCUUCAUGCGAUCUUUAGCCCUUAUAGCAGUUGAUAUUAUCCCCCUGAGACAUCAAUAUUAAUUGGAGCACAGCUGGUAUAACUUAAUCAGGGUCAGGUAAUGCUUUUAACAUCAAAUUUGCUUAACUUUGCAAAUAAAUUAUCUUUCAACUUUUUUAGUGCACAUUCUUUCUGAGGAUCAAGAUAAUUUCUUUCACUGAUUUUCCAGCUGUUUAUUUUCUCCCCCUUCCUUAGUCGUUGGAAAGACUGAGUCACUAAAAUUACAGUCUGUUAUUCUAAUCUUAUCCCUUAUUUGAUGGCUUAAUACAUUUAAUCAUCAAGGGAAAUUCAUAUCCAACAUAUAUUCCUCUUUUGAGGUCCCAUCUUAGAUCAAUGUGGUAGAGCAACAUUAUCCAAAACUUUUAGAUGGGAAACAUCUGGUUUCUGACCAAAACCAACCAUAAGGAGAACUCAAAAUUAUUCGUUCGCUUAAUGCGAAUCAAUGUGGUUUCACUCUUAAUCAAUUAACGAAAUAGUUUCACAAAGAUACAUAGUGGGUGAUCAAUCCAAAAUAUCUCUUUGUGUAUGUACCAGAAAAUUAACAUAUCCAAAUUUAUUGGAGAGUGAAAAUUAAACACAUUAGAAUUUUCUGGAUCCUUUUUGCAUUGUUAUUUAACUGGAAUGACUUAACCAGUUUUGCCAAAACAGUGAGAUUUUCAGUAAAUUUCUUGUUUACUAGACUCAUUUAUAUCUCACAUACUAGUGUAGUACAAUUCAAUAGAGAAAACAAGUAGUUUUUCUAAAUUGAUUUUACUGCCUUGGAUAAUACUCAUGAUGUGAAGAUGUUAACAUUUUCUUCAGUCAUUGUCUCAAUUUGGAUAUUUUUUACACAUGAUUUAUCGAACAUGAGUGUGAACAUGAUCUUCUGGAUGUUCCACUUUCUAUGAAUUGUGGGAUUCUGCAAUUAAGGUUAUAACGUGCUGAUAACAUAUUGUAAAUCAGUUAUCGAGAGAGAGAGCAAAUUGGUGUUUCUUAUUCCAGAGAUAAUGAGGGGUAUAUAUAGUAUUACAAAGACCCAACUAUUACUCUAAGUUUCUGAUGUGGGACAGAUACAAUAUUAGUAAUGGACCUUAUAAUGGGCAUCCAUAUACUAAUAUUCAUAACAAUAUAUAUAUAUAUAUAUAUAUAUUGAAAUAAAUAUAUAUUCAAAAUUUCACAAUAUUUUCUUUUAUUAUAAUUUAUUAUAUUUUAUUAUAAUAUAUAUCCAAACAAAAGUUGAAUUUUUUUUUUUAAUUUAUAAAUAGUUAGAUACGAGAAAAUUAAAUUUUUGUAAGAGUUUGUGGACUAGGCAUAAAAACUAAAAUCAUUAAACGAUACAAAUUAAAGUUAAGUGUUCAGAAAUAUAUAUUUUUCUGGGUCAGUCAGAACAAAAAUUUGAUUCAGUUCUAAAUAGAUUACGUAAACGGAUUAGUUUGGUUUGACAUCUCUAUCUAUAAUCAAUAGCUAGUUACAUAAUAAAAUUAGAGUAAAAAAAAGUUUUUUUAAAACUUUAAACAUUUUUUCUUUAAAAAAUCUCACAAGCUAGCUAUAGCGCAGUAUAAAUCCUACUCUAUAUAGUAGAAACUUUAUAAAUUAAUAUUUGAUAAAUUAAUAAACUCUAUUAAUUAAUAAAUUUCUUUAGUCCUAAAUUAAUAUUUUGAACUAAUUAAUCUCUUUAUAAAUUAAUAACUCUCUAAAAUUAAUAAUAUAUAAGAGUUCCACUGUUAUUAAGUUAUUACUGUACUAUUAUUUAAGGAUUCAUUUACAUAAAUGAACAUUUAUUUGUAAGAAAGUACAUAAUCAUUUACAGUAAAAACUCUAUAAAUUACUAACAUUGGGAUUUUUAUAUUAUAUAAAUUUAGAGAGUUAUUAAUUUAUAAAGAAAUUAAUUAGCUCUAAAUAUUAAUUUGAGACUAAAGAAAUUUAUUAAUUAAUUGAGUUUAUUAAUUUAGUGAAUAUUAAUUUAUAGAGUUUUUUCUGUACAUAAAUGAGCCUUUAUUUGUAAUAUUAAUUAUUUACAUAAAUGAACUUUUAUUUGUAAAAUAUUACAUAAAUAAACUUUGUAAAUAUAGAAAAUUUUAAUUAAAUAUAAAGAUAGUUAGUGGAUAGUUAAUGAAUAAAUAAAUUUAAAACCUUAGAAAACUCAAUUAAAUAUUUGUAUCAAAAAAUUAUGGAGCUUAGUAAAAUUAGUAUAUGUAACACUACUCUAUUUGUAUGUAUAGUGGGCCUUAAAAAAAUUAGCACAUUACACCUUAAAAAUCGUGUGUAUCUUAUUAAAUAUGUCAAUAAAUAUGUUAAUGCCUAUUAUUGGAAAUAAGAUUACAAAAAUUAUUACAAAGGAUCUUGAAGGACCAGAUCAAGCUUCAGCUUCCGGGUUGGUCUGAUCGUCCUUCGGAGACGUCACUACAUUCUUUCUUUCCACAAUCAAUGCGUCGGUAGCUAUUGACGCAAACCUUUCACCUUUUUCUCCUCGGCAUCGAGGGUCGUAGGCUCGUCAACCUUGCACAUCGAGGGUCGUAGGCUCGUCAACCUUGGCAUACUUAGCCUCAAGUAGCUCUUCGAUCUUCUUCUCCACGGACUUGACUUUCUCUUGAAGCUUGACGAUCGCCUCGUCUUUUGCUGCCUUAUGCGCCCUUUUUACCGCAACAUCAAACAUCGCCUCCUUUUCAGCAAGGUGUUUGACCUUUUGCUCCUCGAGCGUGACCGGGAGAUUGAAAGUUCGGUCCAGCUCAGUCUUAAGCAGCUUCUUCUGUCCCUCGACGGCCUUCACCCGAGCCUCGGCCCUGUCGAUCUCCUCCAAAUGCCUCCUUGUCAUCUCGUCUACACGACGUUUCUCUUUGUGCGCCUCAGAUCUAUAGUCAGCUACGAGAUUGGUGAUGGAUGCUAGAAACUGAAAUAUAAAAAGAUCAUGAGUACAAAAAAAAAACCGAACUGAUACUUGAAGAUAUCUUCUCCAUUCUUACCUUUUUACAGCGCAGCGACAUGUUUAAAAAAGAAUUUGACUGUGUCAAGACCCCUAGAGGAGGAAAACGAGUAUUCGAGCUCGCCACAGAUGAAACAAGAAGAGCUGCAGCAUUUGCGUCAUCGACGACCGAAGUAACAGUAGGCGGUGUGGAAGGAGCCUCAGUCCGCCACUUUUUAGUCGUUUCCUUGGCAGGGCCCUUUUCUUUGUAUCCAGCAGCGGCACAACGUUUUUGGCUCGCCGAAUCCUUGUGUUUCGCCAAGGACGAAUCAGAGGGCGUCGCCUCAUGUGGCAGUGCCAAGAUCAGCCUCUCCAAACAGGAAUCAUUGGGAGGAUUCUCAUUCAAAUUUUUGACUACCUCGGGGGCAUUUUCCCCCAGGAGCGACUCGGACAUGGUUGUUCCUAAACCCGGUUGUGUCUCAGACAGCGCGAAUUCGCCAUGGCUCUUUCACUGGCAGUCACCUUGGGAGAAUGAACUAGAGUACGGCUCGUCUUGAGGUGAGAGGCAAGAGGUUCGGCAUCACGCUUUGAGGCUUCUUGAGCUUCUAACUAUUUCUUUCUAAGAAGCGAGAGUUUCAUUAUCUUUCCGUACGUAGAUUACGAAGAACGUGUAUCCAAACCGAUGAAAAAACUAAAAAGUGCAGCUCGGGCUCUUUCAAUUUGGCGAAGCAAGAAAUGCCUUGUCCAAUGUGUUCUUCUCGCAGCUAAUUCUUAGACCACUUCUAAGAAACCGUCUGGGAUUGGCGGGAAUAUAUGCCUAACUGCAAAAGGAAAACAAGAGGUUUGCUGUUAAAAUCUAUGCGAUAAAAACAAGAAUCGAACCUAAGAGCUUUGGAUUGGCUUCCGAGGGUUUCUCAGUCAGUUUUGACCAAAUCAAGGAAGUCACACCCAAUGGAUGCCUCGUUAACCAAGACAUAGAAGAACUUCUCUUCCCAAAAACUAUUCUUGCUGGGAAAGCCUCGGAUGAACCUCCGAUUUUUCUAGUUAAAGAUAUAGUAUCAUGUCAUGUCUCUGCUUCGGCGAAUCUCGAGAAGCUUCAGCAAGUGAUUGACGUCCACCUACACAUCACAUUCAUAACUCCAAACAAAAAUCCCGAUCAGGUGACGGAGUCCCCGGGGCAUAAAUUAUCCAAUAGAGAGACUCAGCUCCCAAAGAAACCGCAGAAUCGGCACAGAGAUCGGGAACCAGAUAUAGCAUAGUUCAAAGAAACUCUCGUACAAGAUAAAAUGGUUCGAAGGGGUUUAUUCACCCGAGCAGACGGCACAGAAACUAAGAACUCUACCGUCUCAGAAAUUCCAAAGAUAUGCCUCAACACCUGCAAUGUCUCAGGCUUCGAAAGGGUCGAGCCGGGAGGGUCCGGUUCUUUUCCAAUUAUAUCGUUUUCUUGAAGGUCCCGCCUCGAGAUUAGACAACAUACACUCCAAAUCUCGCCUCGCUUCAAACGGAUAAAAAUUCCAAUCUUCUUCUUUGGGUUUGACUUCGGCGGACUCAUCAAUGUGACUCGCCACCUCGGCGACUUGAAAGGGAGAAGAAUCCUCGAAAGGACUUUAAAGCACCGAGCCGAUCGCUUCGGUCUCUAUAUGAGACGAAGAAAUUUCACUUUCGCCUCGGAGGCUGUCUGAACCAGCCGAACAGCUCGCGUUGUCAUCUCCUUCACUUUCAGCUAAAUUAUAAAGCGAAUUGGCUGAAUGAGUCGUAUCAGAAGACAUGGCGAACGUUGAAGAAUGUAGAAACAAAUCGAAACAUCUGAAGAAGCGGAAGAGAAGAUCUAUUCCAAAUCUGGGUUGAGAACUUACAAAAAUCUUCAAAGAUUGAUAAAAAAUUCCUAAAAAUGAAUCAAAAUCUUUGAAGAUGGAUCAGAAAACUCAAAGGCUCACUGGAACAUCUUGAAUGACAUAGUUGUUGGACGAAGGAACCCUAGCCGGAGCAAAAUAAAAACACUAAAAAAAAAAGAGAGAGAAAAGAACUUUACCUAAGGUAAAAUUUGUGGGAAAGUAAAUUGUGAGGGGUAAAGGCAACAGUUUGACUAUAUAUAAAAGUUUGAAAGCGCGUGAGGUCUGUGUAAACGCGUGGGAUUCACCUAUACUUUGGGAAAUAGCAAAAAUUUAUGGGUCCUAGGGUAAUAAAGGCCAUGCGCGUGGAAUCUGAAUCGACAAAUUUCAUGAUCCUAGCAAGAUACUUGCCUUCAUCAAGACGAGCCGUAAUCAUAACCGAAGUGAAAAAAUUGCUCUUAUUAAGAUGCCUCGUCGAGUGUCUGCAUCGGAAAAACUCUCUCUUGCGAAACGCCUCGGCAAACUUUAUCUUGUGAAACGACUCAGGAAACUCUCUCUUGUGAAACGCUUUUGCAAAAUUUCUCCUCGCAAAACGCCUCGGCAAACAUCUGCCUCCGGAAACUUUCUCUUUCGCAAAAUACUUCGGCGAGCAUUUGCCUCGAUAAAAUCUUCCCCUAGAAAUUGACUCAGCAAAGAUUUGCCUUGACGACAUCAUAACUUUUCUUGAAAACGCCUUGGCAAGAAUUCAUCCCUAUAUCAUUCUCUUGGAGACUCCACUCCCAACACUUUGCUUCAAAACUGCAUUUCGACGCCGCAUGCCUCAGCUCGGCAAAUUCUCAGACAUUCGGCCACCAGGUUCAUAUUAGCCUGCCGAACUAACAACUUAACUUAGUUAUUCUUGUGACUCAGAAUAUACCGUCCACGCGAUCCCAUACCUUGUCUACCGUCCAGAUUCCUCGAAUUAUCCCAAACAUCUGCUCAUUGCUUAGUCACUCAACCAAGCAUCCCCACAUAACUAAGUAAUGACGAGAUAACCAGAACUCUCAUCAUGAUCCAAACUUGAUCAACACGCACUAGCAGAUUCGUAAAGAUUCUCACACAUCUCUUUGGUACCAAGACACUCAACCAACCAAUCCAACUUGUAUAAGUAAACGUAGAGAAAGGCACCAAGCCUCGAGCCAUCGCUCCAGAUCCACCAUCAGAUUCUACGUAUCAGCUUACGUCUUACCCAAACUGUAACUGCUUGACAGUUACUCAGAUUCCCCCUGAAUUCCCCACAGACAGAGUCAUAGAUUCCUUGUGAAUCCCCACAGACACCACACAAAUUCACCAUGAUUCUUUGCAGAUAAACAACACAUAUACUCCGCGAAUCAUCGCGAACAGACUACAUCAAAACUGCCGUAAAUCUUCUCACAUUCCCGCACAAACCCAGACACCUCUCGCGCAUCCCUCGCGCACCACUCGCACACCACUAGCGCAUCACUUGUAUCUCACUUAUACAUCGCUCGCACGAUGCUCCUGAAUGCAUGUGCAUCGCUCGCACUUUAAUUGGGCGUUACUCGCACUUCUCACCGUGUAACACUCCAUGUAAUGAUCUAAUCGCACAGACUCGGUUCUCCGAUCACAAAAACUCGGUAGCAGAAUUUACAGAAAUACUCGCAUAAAACAUACGUCAUGGCUCCACACAGUUGCCUCCAAAGAUUCACAGACAUUCACCAUUGAUCGUACCAUGAUCUCGGCCAGCACCAGAAUCACAUUCCUAGUCUUCCAGACACUUUUACUGUAGAUCAUAAUCUCGAUCAACGUACAAGGUCUUGCGUAGACUCGCCGACGAAUCCGGAAAUGCUCUCCUAUAACCACACAGAUCCGCGUAACCGCACACACCAUCUGUCCGAACAGACUACCGUCAGUGCACACAUUCACUGGCGAAGCCACGACGCUGAUUUUAGAUCUCUCCUAUUAUUUCUCCCUAUGUUUCUUUUUUCCGCUAUAAUACCAGAGAUAACCACAUUAUCUUUUUCCUUUGGUGUUAUUACAGAUCCACACGUUGAAACCAUCUAAAAACUGUCCUGCGCACAUACUUUAGCGCUUGCACGCGUAUAGAAACCGAUCCACACACCUAGAAACUGUCUGCGCAAUUUUCCCACGAAGGCAAUAGUCGUGCCCAUGCAUUUCAUCGUGUGCCUCAAAACAGAUAACCGUUCCCUCGCGUUUUCCUGCACGUGGACUGCCCUGCUCCUAACAGCAGCUCACCAACCUGUCCGAAUCCGACAAGUCCGAAAAUUAUGGACUGUCCGAAUAACCAUCAAACCAGUUCCAAAAAUCACGGACGAGCUAACAUAAGCUCAAAAAUCACCUGGACUUUAUCUUUCGUUUGCCUUGAAACAUUUCCAUCCCAUCAGCUACGAAAUACAAAACAUGGGUGUUACAAUUUUUCUCCACUUAGAAUGAAUUUGUCCUUGAAUUCAACGGUUGUUGGAACCUUUUUCUACCCAACUUCACGAAGUAUCGGAACCAAUUCCACAAACUUCACCAUAUAACUCAGUAACUUUAUACUUCAGAUUUAUUCAACUCACUCUCUGUCUCACAGGACCAGAAUAUUUUUCCCUAAUAAUUAAGCGUAGUAGUCCUUAAUUCCAAGGAAUCUCUUGGAUAUCGAACAAUCAUUGGCAAGUACACCUCACUUCCAAUGGCCUGUCUCGAAUUACCUCAAUUCUCGGCAACUAAACUCACUACCUCAAUUGAGUUACGCCCACCAUUUCCCGAUCACAGUCUCUCGCGUAAUUGAUCUCGAUCUUGCCCUUGCCGCUCUUGGAUUCAUUACCUAUACCUUAUGUUUGAUCACAGACUCAUUUCCCGACCAUCUCCUGGAUUUUCAAGUCCCACCGGACAUUUGUGCCUCUUAUAUUUUUUCCGGGUAACACGUAAACCCUUACAAACAUUCACGGAUCUCUCUGAGCCUCCACGACUUUACUGAAUUACCUUUGGUCAUCCCCAACCCUUAUAAGCAUUUUUGAAUCACUCAUGAUCCCUGCAAACAUUCAUAGAUCAAUUCUGAUCCUUCACAGAAACUUCACGGAUCUUUCCUGAUCCUCCUAAAAACAUUAUGGAUUCUCACGAUCUUUACAGAUUUUUCAGAUCCUCAGAGAUUCGGCUGAGGACACACUUGGUCCCCAUUGAAUUCUUCACAAUACACAUUGGUGGACACACUACUUCCCACAGAUGUUUCCACAGACUUCCCUUGGUGAACACUCGGGUUCCCAUAGACAUUUUCAUGGACACUCCCACACAGACACUCUUUGGUGAUACUCCCUAGUAAACUUAGUCCUCACAACGCAACUCUCAACGCAUUGCGUUAGUUUACAUGGACAGUUCAUCUUGGCCAAACAAGAUCGUCCUAGCAAACUCCAAGAGUUCCCAAAGAUGCGAUCACAAAACACUCGUCAAGCAUGAUUACCCAUAGUUACCAAGCAGCUCGUAACUAGACAAACCAUAGCGAGAACCCUGACCCCCAAGCGCAUGUCCAAGCCCGACACUCAAGUAAAACGAAUCAACCACCAAGACUAAGCCUGAUGUGAUCAUGGAAGCAACAAGAAAUAUCCACAUAAUGUGUGGCUUCUUUGUAUAAGAUCCAUUAAGACUUCAAGCCCAUGAAAAAUUUCGACCAGGCCUUUUUACAGGAGGAGUGAAGUGGAUCUUAACUUGAUUAAAAGCCUAAAAUUAAAAGAGAAGACGUAGGUCCAGCAAGGAUAAACCUCAACCCAAAGGAAUAGAAAAAGUCACAGCUAAACAAUUUAUUGUUUCUGCUAGUAGGAGAUGUUUAAUGCUACUAGUUGUUUGCUGUUGGUUUCUUUUCAUUUCUUCUUAUUUAUAACCCUUGUAAGCCCAGCAAGAAAAAAGUCAAUCAACCCUUUAUUAUCUUCUUCUUCUUUGAGCAUGAUUCAUUCAAACUUUUUGUUGGUGUGUAAUGUCCAGCAAGCAACUCGAUUUCUUUGGUGUGUAAUAUAUAGAGGAUCGACGGUGAAUCAGAAGCCAUUUUGCAACUUCUGUGUGACCUUUCAACCCCCAUCCUUUGUUCAGUGAGCUUCACAGCCAUUAAGGCAAAGCUGAUCCUUUUUUUACUAGCCUUACUAAGUGUCGAUGUUUGGGAAGACCUCCUCAAGAACCAAUCUGGUGGAAACCAAGGAGUCGCAAAGGCAAGUGAAUGACCUUAUGGAGAAAGGGCAUAUCAGAGGGAGCAUGAGCCCUUGUGUCCUUUUCGUGUUGUUGGUACUUAAGAAAGACAGUAGCUGGCGAAUGUACAUUGAUUGUAGAGGAAUCAACAAUAUCACAGUUAUGUACCGACAUCCCAUUCCUAGAUUACAUGAUAUGCUUAAUGAAUUGCAUGAUUCUAGCAUCUUUCCUAAAAUUGAUCUUAAGAGUGGAUAUCAUCAGAUUACAAUGAAAGUAAGGGAUGAGUGGAAAACAACAUUUAAGACGAAGCAUAGUCUUUACAAGUGUUAGUUAAGCCAUUUGUACUAACAAAUGCACAUAGUACGUUCAUGAGGUUAAUGAAACAUGUACUUAGAGAUUUUAUAGUUGUUUUGUAGUAGUCUACUUUGAUGACAUUCUGAUUUAUAUCAAGAACCUAGAAAAGCAUGUUAGUCACUUGAAAUAUGUUCUAGAUGUGCUUAGGAAAGAAAAGCUAUUUGCUAAUUUUUAAAAUGCACGUUUUGUACAAACAAUUUUGUCUUCCUAGGUUUUUUGUAAGUGCGAAUGGAAUCAAGGUCGACAAAGAAAAGGUCAAGGCUAUUAAAGAUUGGCCGAGUCCCAAACAGUUUGGUGAGGUGAGGAGCUUCCACGGCCUAGUCGGGUUUUAUAGACACUUUGUUAAAGAUUUUAGUACCCUGGUUGCACCUCUAACUGAAGUUGUCAAGAAAGACAUGAGAUUCGAUUAGGGAGAAGGACAAGAAGAGGUGUUUCAAACCUUGAAAAAUAAGCUAAUCAACGCACCUCUAUCAGUCUUACCUGAUUUUUUGAAAACCUUUGAAAUAGAGUGUGAUGCAUCUGCUAUAGGAAUUGGAUCUGUUUUGAUGAAGGAUAAUAAGCCCAUUGCAUACUUUAAUGAAAAACGCGGAGGAGCUACUCUAAACUACCUAAUGUAUGACAAGGAGCUGUAUGCUUUAGUCCGGGCUUUGCAACAUGGCAACAUUACUUAUGGUUUAAGGAGUUUUUCAUUCAUACUGAUCAUGAGUCUCUCAAGCAUCUAAAAGGACAACAAAAUCUCAUCAAAAAACAUGCCAGGUGGGUCAAAUUCACUGAGACAUUUCCCAAUGUCAUCAAGUAUAAACAAGGUAAGGAAAAUGUAGUUGUUGAUGCAUUUUCUUAUAGGUAGGCCUUGCUCUCUAUUCUUGAUGCUAAGUUUUCGGUUUUGAACAGCGUAAACAAAUAUAUGUAUCUGAUUCUGACUUUAAAGAUGUAUAUUAAUUUUAUGAAAAGUUUGCUAAGGAUAAUAAUAUGGAUCUCUCUUUUAUUACAAUCGCUUGUGCAUGCCUUAUCGUUCUAAUCGAAACUUGCUUGUUAGAGAAGCUCAAAGGGGUGAACUAAUGAGACACCUUGGAAUUAUUAAGACCCUUAAAGUAAUUCAAGAUCACUUCCUGGCCACAGAUGAAGAGGCACAUGGAGAGGAUAUGUCAAAGAUGUGCUACAUGCAAACAUGCAAAGUCUAAAGUUCAACCUCACAGUUUGUAUACUCUAUUACCUAUUCCUAAUCAUCCUUGAACUGAGAUCUCUAUUGAUUUUGUUCUUGGACUAGGAUAAGUAAGGAUUCUAUCUUCGUAGUGGUAUAUAGAUUUUCUAAAAUGGCACAUUUCAUACCAUGUAACAAAACCGAUGAUGCAUCACAUGUAGCUAAUCUGUUCUUCAAGGAGAUUGUCUAUUUGCAUGGCAUGCAAAGGACCAUUGUGACUGAUAGAGAUACAAAGUUUUUAAGUUUCUUUUGGAAAGCAUUGUGGUCUAACCAAGGAACUAAGAUUUUUAUUUUCUACUACAUGUCAUCUGCAUAAUGAUGGGCAAACAGAAGUGGUUUAAGGAACCUUGUCUACAUUGUAGCGUGCAUUAAUUGAGAAGAACCUUAAUUCUUGAGAAGAUUGCUUACCUCAUGUAGAAUUUGCAUAUAACAAUUUUGUUCACUCUGCUUCGAAGUUUUCUCCAAUACAGAUUAUUUAUGGUUUUAACCUUUCAUCUUCUUUGGAUCUAGCCCCUUGGCCUCUAAGUGAAAAGGUAAAUUUAGAUGGGUAAAAUAAGGCUGAGCUUGUUGAACAGAUCCAUGAGAAGGCUAAAAAAAACAAAGAAGAGAAGAUGAAGCAAUAUGUUAGACAAGCCAACAAGGGCCGCCGCAAGAUGAUCUUUAAGGUUGGAGAUCUCGUGUGGGUACGUUUGAGAAAAGAUAGGUUCCCAGUAGAACGAAUCUCUAAACACAUGCCUAGAAUUGAUGGUCCUUUCGAAGUCAUAAAAAUAAUCAGCGUUGAUGUACAAGGUAAAUAUAACAUGAGUCCGAGUUUUAAUGUUGCUGAUUUAGUUCUAUUUCUUGCAAAUGAUCCAGAUUCAACACAUGGUAUUUUCAAAUAUAUGGUAAGUAGUUGAUAUCUCAACAGAGCAAUGGAAAGACAAGAUCUCUUGAUGUAUUGGAUAUGGACGACCACAAGAGCAUUCCUCAAGAUCUAAAACCUCAACAAAUGCCAUAACUUCAAGCAUUGGCUUUAAGUCCAGCCCAAGCUCCAAAGAAUAAGCCAACCAUUGCAAAUUUUGACACUCCUUGUUGUCGUGGAAUGAGAUAUGGUUAGAUUGUUUCAAAACUCUAAGUUCUUGUGGUUAGGAAUGGAGAAUCCAUAUGACCAUUUGGACUCUUUUGAGAGGUUGUGUGACACAUUUAGGAUUGGAGGAGGGCCCCAAGAUAGUAUCAAGCUCAUCUUGUUCCCAUUUUCACUUGGAGAAAAUACAUGCGCAUGGGAGAUAUCACUACCAUCUCACUUAGUCAAGUCGUGGGAUAAUUGCAAGAGGAUGUUUCUUUUAAAGUUCUAUCCCAUACAAUGAACGGUCCAAACUAGUAGAAACAUCUUGAGCUUCAAAACAAGGCAUCUAUGUGACCUUUCAUGAGGCAUGGGACAGACUUAAAGGAUAUACUAGCGAUUGUCCUCAUCAUGGGUUCAACAAGAAGCUAUCCUUAGUAUAUUGUAUUGGGGAGUUGAUAGAGAGCAUAAAUGGACAUUGGAUGUAGCUAGCAAUGGGCGUUUUGCAAAUCUCACGAUAGCACAAGGACAACUACAUGUUGAGAAUUUGGCCAAGAGUAAUAAAAGAUACAAGGAUCAUGAUAUUGAAGCUUGUCAAGAUGAUCAAGGUGAGGUGGAGCUUUGUUUUCAGCAAGAGUUUGUUCCACAAGGCCAAGUAGGUUCUUCAAAGCCUAAAGAGAUGGAAUUGAACAAAUUUUUCCAACAAAUAGACAAGAUGAGAUUAAUACAAGAGUAAAGAGUUCUUACAAAGAUCUCCACACAAAGCAUGAAUUCAUGUCUUCUAAGGUCAAACACUUGGAGAAACAAGGUUCUAAAGAAAGUUCCCUCACUAGUGAACCCAUACUAAAGGGCAAGGAACUAAAGGAUUAUUGUAAUGCUAACUUCUCAAGUAAGGUGCAUUUGUUUGAUGAGAAUGAGGAAGCUAUAAUAGAGGUUGAGAGACUUCUCCAUGGCACCAAAGAUGAGAUUCACCACUUUGAGAUGAAGUAUGUGGGAUCUUGUGAAAUGAAGGAAAGAGGAUCAGCCUCUUGAAGCUUGUGAAAAAAAAAGAAAGAACCUGAAGUAUAGCCUGAUCUUGAGUUCAUUGAUGGUUAGAAAUUCUUUAGUGAUGAUGAGGAUUGAUUGGAACUUCAAUAUUCUACACCAUAAAGAAAGAAGUUUCUUGCAAAGUGGUCCAAUAGAGAGGUGGAGGUCCUAAAGCUAAGAAGAAACCGAGCAAGGCCAAUAAGGAAAAAAAAUUUCUUGACCAAUCUUCCACUAUCAUUCUCAUUCCAUUAACUCAUCAAGAUGGAGUGAUUGAGUAUAAGAUUCAGUGUAGAGGAAGGUCUAAGCCAUUUGCAAAGGUCAAAGCAAUUCUCACUCAAGAACUCAAGGACAAAGGUGAAAAUGGUAUUGAGGAGCUUAUGAGCAAGGCAAUGAGGCUUGAGUUCAAGGAAAUCCAGGGAGUUCCACUACUCUCUCUCUCUCAUUAAAAGGAAGGUAUGAAAAGUCAAAAUUAGUGACUUAAAACAAAGUGUACUUGGAAGACAGUCCCAUGUCUAUCAUUGUAUAUACUUUCUCUUAUUGCUUUCUAGUUAAAUGUUAUGUUUUGGGGAGUCUUGAUCUUUUUGUUGAUUGUGUGCAAGGGGAUUUGAUGGUCUAAGAUUUAACACGUGGUAGAGGAAAACCAAGGCCGUGCACAACUGAUCUGUGGUGAUGCUAAGAUCCUUUGAUGCAUAGACAUCACUCCUCCUCUCCAUUAAACACUCAAGGUAACACUUUAAGACUUAUGUAUAGCAUUUAGUCUCAUUUUCUUUAGAAUUUUGUUUUUCCUCUUUCUCAUGCUUCUAUUACACAAGAGACUCUGUAAUUUGAGUGUGGGGGAGGGAUUUAGUGUUAUAUAACCAUGUUUCUUUGUGUUCUUAUUUUAUAUUCAACAUUUUGAGUCUCAUGCAUUCAUUCAUUAUACAGAAAAGAUAAAAAUUGGUAAUUUUUAAAGUUUUUUAUCAAAAAAAGAAGCAUACAGAUGCAUUUGCAUACUUAGGAUUGAGUAUAGAAUGCAUUUCAUAUAGGUUUUCAUCAUGCAUUGGGAAUAAUGGUUGAUUUUUCCUUGUAGAAUAUCAUUUUACGAAUUUGGUUCAGUGUCCUAGUUAUUAGUUGUUGAUGCAUCUAAUUGAGUUUCAAAUCAAGGAUGAACCCUAUUUGGAUCUUGUGUUUGACUUUUCUUGUCUUAGUUGAAUCAUGUUGUGAUUAGUUCCAAUCCUACUUAAGUGAAAACCUUUAAUUUGUCAUCUUAAUUAUCAGGUUUAUGCAUUUCAUAGUGAAUUCAUGGAUACCAUAUACAUAUUUGGGCUAUCUUCAUCUUGUUACAACUCUUUGUUAGCUCAAAUAGCCAAUUCCCAUCAUUGGAAUGGUUAACAACACCUUAAACCAAUCCUCCUUUCAAGCCACGAUUAGUGAGUCCAUGUAAGGCCUUAUUUUCAAGUAGAGUUGGCAAAACGUGUUGGGUCUAGAGCGAUAAAGGUUUUACAUGUAGGUUCUAGUCCAUCAUCAAUGGCUAGAUUAGGUUAGGCUAUGGGUUGGGAAGUUGUGGUUUAUGAGAAAAAUUGAUGGAGUGUGGUGUGAAAGAGAAAGAUGGGAUUGAAGUAGGGGAAUGAAUCCAAAAGAAAAAAAAUUUUGAGUUAGCAAGUGUUAAAAAAAGCUAUAAGUAUAAUAGCUAGUCUCUCGAGUUAACAAAAAGUAAAGAAAAGAAAAAGAAAGAGACUAGAAGAGUAAAUAAAAGAAAAGAGUUAAGUGUGUAAAGAAAAAGAACCUCUCAAAGUGUUAUGUGCAAGAAGAGCAUUCCCUUAAGGCCUUAGAGAUAAGAAAACAACAAAGGUUGGUUUUUAUCAAGGUAAAAAUGCCUUUGAGAAAGGGUAGCUUAGGAGAAGAAACUUCAUGGCUAGGUUUUUAAAGCAAAUGGGGUAUUGAGUCGAUGUAGGUCUAUCUUUGUAUGCAUCCAUUGCUUUUUACCCUUAGCAUUUUGCUAAAGUCUACUUCUUCUUGAGUGAUCCCUAGCUUGGAGCAACCAGUUACUUGUAUUGGGAUCAUCUUAGUCUCAAGACCAUGUCCCUAGCCAAAUGAAUUCAUUUGUCUUGCAUGAACAUGAUUCACUUGAAAACCUUUAUGAAUUUUAAUGGGUUGGGACUAGGCAUGCUUGUCUAGGCUAAUACUUGAGCUUGAUGCAUUUAUUGAUGGAUAUGGCUAGUUUCUUUUAAGUAGACUCACUUGUUUGCAUCCUAGAACUAGUAAAUUUGGACAUUGAACUUUGAAUUCUUUUAUUGAUAUUUAUGGAUAUGAGUUCACCUUUCAAACCUCUUUAUCACCUUGUUCUUGUUUGUUUUCUUGAUGAAAAGCAAAGGAUAAGUGUGGGGGAGUUGUGGAUAAAAUUUAUCAUGUUUUAUCAUUCAUUUUAGUAUAGUUUUAUGUCUAGUCCAUUCAUUUGAAAGCAUUUCUUAAUAUUUUAAUGUUAAUUGAGUUUAGAUAGGAAUGCAUUAGGUCCAAGUGUGUCUUUGCAUGUUUUGGAUUCAUUCUAGGUACUUUUGGAGAUUUAGAGUGCAUUUGGGCUUGAGAACACUUGAAGAAAUGGUGAAAAAAAUAUGAAGAAUCAGCCAAAACGUGCUCUCGGCAAAUUUCCUUUCCGGAAAAAAGUUUCCAUGGCGAAAACUGCAUCAGGCAUGUACCGCUCGGCCAAAAACCCUUCGCAAAAACACCAGUAUAUGAUUCUCUCGGCCAAAUCUUACACCAGCCGAUGUAUCUAAAAGUUCAUCUGAAACAGGCCCUUUUUACUAUGACUCAGCUUCGACGAUCUUCAUGGAAGUUGAAGGCCAGAGAGUCAUCUUUCCAAUUAAGUUGGUCUCAUGACGUUUGGAGCCUUAGAACGAAAGUUACAGCCGUUGCCGAACACAUAUGUCCUAUCGGUCCGAUUCCGUGCACAAUUUUAUAGUUUGUCAAUUACAUACAAAAAAAUCAAAGUCCAAUAAAUCUAUUUACUGUACCUGCUCCACAAGGUAUAUAUGUACUUUAUCAAAAGUUUUAUUUCUAAAAUUGUAUAUUAUUCAUUUUUAAGGUGAUUUAAUUUUGUUUUGUUUUUAUUUUUUUAUCAAAUAUAAACGCUCAUAUAUAUGUGGUCCUAAUCUAGUUUAUAAUAAUCCUUUGUCAUAAAAUUAAAUCUUUUAAUAAUUUCUCUAAAUAUAUAAAUAAUUGGAAAAAUGUGUUAUUUAAUCUGAUGUACAGACCUUCAAAAUUAUUUAAUCUCAUUGUUAGGAGAAACCAAUAUUGUACACUGUUAAAACUGUAGAUAUUUUGGUAAAAAUUGCAGUAAACCCGAGACAAAGAGGCACGAACAAAGGAGUGAAAAAAAGGAGGGGACAUGUGAUGCGAUAUAGCGAUGGGUCAUCGAGGGAAUCUUGUAUUCUUAUGAUAAUUGCCAACCAUGCUUAUUUUGGGUCUUCUCUUCUUAUUGCAGAAGUAGCCCCCAUGUUCACGUGAUCCCUUCUUCCCAUUCUUGCUCUAUAUAUUCAUAUACCCUUUCUUAUAUUUCCUCCACGUACACUUCUCAACAUGGACUCAUCCAAACUCUCAUUGCUCUCUCUCUGUCUCCUCAUUUGCAUUAUCUGUUCUCCCCAACACUCACUCUCAUGCGGUUCCUGCAACCACCAGAAGGGCGGAUUACCCUCAAUUAAACCCCCUGUCACCAUUCCCAAGCUUCCUGUUCCUCCGGUUACUGUUCCUAAGGUACCCGUUCCUCCAGUAACUGUCCCUAAUCUACCCGUUCCUCCUGUAACUGUUCCAAAGCUACCUAUUCCUCCGGUGACCGUACCUAAACUUCCAGUUACCGUACCUAAACUCCCAGUUCCUCCGGUGACAGUCCCUAAGCUACCCAUUCCGCCAGUGGCCAUUCCAAAGGUACCCGUUCCUCCAGUUACUGUCCCAAAGGUACCUGUUCCUCCUGUGACUGUCCCUGAGCUUCCACUUCCUCCAGUGGGCGGGCUACCCACAUUGCCACUACCACCAUUACCAGGGACUAUCCCACCAGCCACAGGAGGGAAGGAUUGUCCUCCAACCCCGGGUAGCGAGAUGCCCCCAUCAGGCAGUGGGAAGGCCACAUGUCCAAUAGACACGCUUAAGUUGGGGGCGUGUGUGGACUUGU
Molecule: long non-coding RNA, 53696 nt
Filed under: Eutrema salsugineum
Lineage: Eukaryota; Viridiplantae; Streptophyta; Magnoliopsida; Brassicales; Brassicaceae
Description: long non-coding RNA (ESAL_LNC001873)
Rfam family: Plant small nucleolar RNA R71 (bases 31477-31583)
Source: RNAcentral